RNAcentral lists this long non-coding RNA (44724 nucleotides) under Triticum aestivum (bread wheat). RNAcentral's name for it is "long non-coding RNA (TAES_LNC005887)". The record is from RNAcentral. Lineage: Eukaryota; Viridiplantae; Streptophyta; Magnoliopsida; Poales; Poaceae.
GAGGGAGAAGAGGCCCUGUUCGAGAUCAUACGCAGCCCUACCAGGCCGGAUGAUCUGAAUGAAGCAGAUGACGGCUCCCAAUAUCUGAACAAUACCGGGGAGGGUGAUGAUAAGAUAUUCGAUCAGGACGACCGAGCUAAUGAAGUCAUGAACUAUGAUUAUAAUUAUGAUUAUGAUGACACAGCCAAUGUUGAUCUUGAAAUAACAAAGACUACCAGCGAGGUAUAUUUAUAUAAGCAAGCAUCUAGUGAUCAUCACAUGUUUUUUUAUUUGAAGAUAUAUUAACGAAUCGAUCUUUCUUCUUUCAGCCCUCCGGAUCGAGCAAAUCUGCUUCUACAAACAGCAGGAGAAAGCGAGGCCCGGGAAAAAAGUUGAAGGAGGGUGUAAAGUACAACAUCAAUUCCAUCAAAGCUUGUGGUGAACCCCUCACGCUUAAGAACAUUGCGAACAAGUUCGUUCGUCAGUGCGGAGUUCUUGUGAAGGACCAACUCCUGAUAUCCAUUCAAGAAUGGAAAGAGCCAAAAACUAAACGUCCAGAUGUUACUUGGGUCGAAGACAGAGCAAAAUACAAUUUUGGGAAUCUCUGAUGGAACAUUUCACCCUACCAGAUUAUUUCACUGAUGUAGAUGUGCAGGAAGUCAAGGACGCUGCUCUUAAGAAGAUGACAAUUGCAUUGAACACCCACAAGAAAACUGUAUGGGCCAACUACCUCGCUGCAGACAGGAAGACUCCUGAAUUCAUGGGAACACUGGAGAAGCAAAGAGAACACUGGCCUGCUUUCAUGAAAUUCAAGGAAUCAGAAUUAUCUAAAGAACGGUCGAGAAAAAACAAGGCCAAUGCCGCAAAAAAGACGCAGUUCCAUAGGCUGAGGCCAGGUGGCUACAUGGUGGGAAUGCCUAAGUGGGAUAAGUCUGAGCAAGAUAUGGAGGAUGCAGGGGUCACUCCGGUUACUAGGAGCUGGCCCCCAGGUGUAGAACUUGGUUCUAUGCGCAUGGGGGGGCGUUGGACCCGAAGACACGCGAGGUUUCAAAGAAGGCAAGUAUAAAAGGAGCCGAAAAAAAGUUACUUGAUGCAAUAGAAGAUGCUUAAAAGGGGGUGUUCACGCCCAACAGAGAGAACGAUGAGCUUACGCGCGCCUUGGGAAAUCCUAAACACCCGGGAAGAACACGAGGCAAGGUCGUUAUUCCCUGGUAUGAGGGAUUUUUGGAAUGGAAUGACAACUACAGGAGCCGUGCAAGAAAGAAGAGGGAGGAGGAGAAGAACAGGAAGCUGGAGGAGGAGCAGAGGAAGCAGGACGCAGAAUGCCUUCAAGGCCUAGAAGCAAGGCACGCGGACUUGGCACUCAAAUUCCAACAGCAGCAGCAGAUCGACUCACUUAGCCAGGAAAGGGGGUCUCAGCAGCGGCAUCAGCAAGCAGAUGAUCGUCCAGCAUUGGAUAGCACCAUCCCAUCCAUGCCGAGAAGCAUCGUUGGUUCCACCCCGGGCGACGCACUGCUGGAUACAUACCAUGUGGAUGACAUCAUAGAGAAUACUAACUGUGAGCUACACUUCAAAAUGAAGAACAUAUCCAUGAAGGUGGCAGACGCCCUUGCUUUUACAAAUACCCCCGAAGCAACCUUCCAUUGCACCCCGAUUCCAGUGGGCUAUGCUCGUGUCUUGGUUGAUGAGGUGGUUGACCAAUAUUUGGGGCUAGAUCUUGACAUUCCUGGAGGUGACGACGAGCACACACUGGGAGAGGCCAUACAUCGUAUCAUCCUAUGGAGAAAGGAUUGCAUCAUCUUUCGAAGGCCACCGACAUCGCGUCAGCCAACUCCUCCUCGAAGUCCGCCACCGAGUCAGGGGACUCCCGCUCCUACAAGUCCAUGAACGCAUGAGCCGACUCCUCCUCGAAGUCCGCCACCGUGUCUGCAGACUCCCGCUUCUCCAGGUCCACGAACGCGUGAGACGACUCCUCCUCGAAGUCCGCCACCGUGUCAGCAGACUCCCGCUCCUCCAACUCCACCAAUGCGUGAGCAGACUCCUGCUCCAACUCAGCCACGCCAGCCGUCUCCGCCGCAUCAGCAAUUGUAGAAGAGACACGCCGCAACUAUGGUGCGUAGCGGUACGAGUCGAGGUAGUACAUGAGGUACAGGCGGUGGCAAGCAAUAUAAAUAUGGUCCAAGCAGCCUCGCUCCUCUUCCUUAGAGGCCUUACGACAUGACCAAGGAGCAAAACGAAGCCAUAGUGAAGGCCCAAGUGGACGCCCAUUUUGGACCGAAACCGGCACCGCCGCCAAGGGAGAAAGUGCCUGAGGAAAAGAUUGACCACUUCAUUCGUAUGGCUAGACCACCGGCUCCCAAGCCUGUUGACUCUGACUAUGAGCGCCAACUCAGGAAGGCACAUCGAGCACGACUACAGAGGGCAGCGAGCUCGAGCUCUAGCCAACAAGUAGCUGCCAAAAAAUACGGGAAAACCGUUCCCCAGCUGGGAGAACAGGCGGCGCAAUCGAUCCCCUCGCUUGUUGUGCCAACAACACAUGAGAGUACGCGCGCCGUAUAUUAUUGUGGGCAAACCGUUCCCCAGAUGAACAAUCUGGUAAUAACUGAGGAGCAUAUAAGCCAGGCUAAAAUGCUCGGUAUCAGUGUUGGACAACUCCUUGAGAUCGAGCCCAUGUCCCCUCUUAGAGGGGAGGAAAUAAAACGGCAAUAUGUCCGCGGCCAACCUUUGGUCAAGCCCAAGGAGGUCAAGAACCUCCCAACGAGAAUGUAUGAAUUGCAUCAGUGGUACAUGAACAUUACCAAGAUUUCCAAUCGAGAGUCCCUCAUGGUGAAUGUCAAGGAGGAGCAUUACUUCCAUGAGAAAGCUCUGUCCAUUGAGUAUUCAGAACUAUUUCAGUUAUACAAUCAAGACGCACUCGACAAAUCUCUCGUCAGUUGCUAUUGUCUGUAAGUGAUUUCUUUCUGUAAUUUAAGUCUCAAGCUAGCUGUAGUGAUCAUUUUGAUCAGUCAUUACCUGUAAUUAUCCUUAGUAUAUUCUUUUCUGUGGUAUUAUGCAGGAUGAAGAUGUAUGAAAUGAAAAAAUCUGGACGCUAUGGCAUUGGGUUCAUUGACCCUAAUACCGUUAAUGAGUACACAUGGAAUAUUCCAAGUUGUCGAGCAAGUUUAGAGGAAAGCAUGCUAGAGUUCUUCAAGCGCCUCAAUAGAAAUGAAGAUAUACUACUUCCUUACAACUUCCUGUGAGUCACACUGUCUUGUACUACAAAUUCUGUUUUUGCUUACUAGCUAGCUAGAUGUUAAUAAUUAAGUGUAUAGGGUUUAGGCUAAUUGAUUAGUGUUGUGCACAUGCCCACUUAAUUAAGACAUGCAAACGUGUGCGCAUGCAGUUUUCGCUGGAUCUUGUUAGUCAUUAAAGUUGAUAAAGGAACAAUUGAAGUACUGGACUCACUACUUAAGGAAGAAAGUGACUUCGCCAUCUUGAAGGGGAUAGUCGCCAGGUAAUUUCAAUCAUUAUUAACUAUAUCUCGGCCUAUUUAAUUAGUUCGUCAUUUCCUGAUAUCAACUAUUUAAUAACCCCUUUAUUCAUUUUCUUUGCUGGCGGGCAGAGCUUGGGCAAAGUUCAUCAAGGUGACUCCAGGCAAAUGGCGACAAAAGUUGUAUUGGUAUCGACCCAAGGUAAGUAAUUAAGUAUUACUAGCUAGCUUACCAUCUCUUUAAUUAUUGUUUCAAUACCAUUAAUUAAUUAUCAUGGUUGAUUAAUUAUUAUUUGAUUAAAUUCCAUUCUCGUAAAGGCCCUGAGGCAGGCUCCGGGGAAUAAUCUAUGUGCAUAUUAUGUUUGCAAGAACAUUCGCAUGCUGGCGUCCAAAAGGAGCAAAUCUCAAAGACAGGAAUGGGUACGUUUGCCAGAACACUAUUCACAAUAUUUACAUAAUUAUCGAUAUCUAGUCACACAACUAAUACACAUGCAUAUUGAUCUCCUUAUUAAUAGUUCAAAGAGGUGCCGAGAAGCUCCUAGCAACAGAGCGCAUACUAGCACUUCAAGAGGAAAUAGCGGGAUUUUUGCUCGACCAGGUCAUAGAUCCCAAAGGAGAAUACUAUUACUCGCUACCGCCCCCAUGAACCACUUGUCAUAGUGCUCCGAAGGCACCAAGACAACAUGUAGGAGAAAUUGUAUAUAUACAUGUGUAUCUGUGAAUAAUUAAUGGUGGUUGUGAGACAUUCAAUGAUAUAUAUAUAUAUAGUAACACUAUUCUGAUCCCAGGAUCAGAAUAGUUAUUUGGAUCACGAUCGGCCCUAUAAGGGCCCGACAACACGUUCCGAGAUCGCUAAAAACCCACCUGACCCGAUCGGUACAAGAAAAAGAAAAAAAAGGCCGACCCACCCCCAACCUCCCGCACCUUCCUCCUCUGCCCCCGAUCCCCUGCCGCCACAACCACACCCGUCCUCGGAACCGCCCGCCGUCCCCCUGGUGCGCCACCCACCGCCGCUGGCAAAGAUCCCCACGCGCCGCCGCCAGUCGGGGAUCAUCACGUGCCCCCACCACCCAUGGAUCCAUACGCUCCAUCAGCGGCCCUAGAUCCCCACCCCGCCGAUCGAGGAUCCUGCUCGGCGCCAGCUGUGGAUCCCGCGUGUAGCAGUUGGGCCGUGGUUGUUAAAACACUGCCGGAGACCUCCAAGUCCAGGUGCCGCCGUGGCCUUCAGCUUCCCCUACACCCCUUCCCCACAUGUCACCGCCACCAUCUUCCUCCCCACGCGCCACUGCCAUCUUCCUCAUUCACUGGUUGCCGUCGUAGCCACCAUGGCUUCUCCCUUCCUUCUGCUACCCCCCUUCACUGACAGGUCACUCCCCACUACUCUGAUCCACGGCGGAUCCUCCUCUGACCGGCUUCCCCCACCACUAGUGCAAUACCUCCUGACUACCCCCUGCGUCACCGGUAGCCGCGGUGGUCUGGUCCUCCCGGAUUGCACUCAUCAGCAGGUCAAACACAAAGUUCGUGGUAGGUCGACUCAAGAAGUUGGAGCAAAAAAGGAGGCAGUUCGUGGCAGGUCAAACCGGAGUGCUAAUCCUGGAAUUAGAUGGGUGGUCUCGACCUGCAGCUGCACGAGGUCUCGACCUGCAGUUCGGCACUUCUUGGUUGCUCUUUUCUGGUGCUGGUUGUGUUGAUAUUUCCUGUACGCUUUUGUUGCCCGCUCUAUGUUCCAGCUAAGUGUUAUGUCAAGCUGGUUCCCAUUAGUCAUUUAUCAUGCCUUUGUUCUGAAUCUAAACGACGUACGUCCGCUCGGGCCUGGCGCAUAGAGGUAAAACCUGAAUUUGAAACAUCUUGUAGAUUUUUAGAUACAUGUGUAUAGUCAUCAAAGUUCAGAAUAAAUGCUACUCAGAAGUCGUUGAUCGGUUGUUUCUGAUCGAGGCAGGGCGCGCACCUAGUAGCUAGCAAAAGCUAGCUCACUCUGAGGUCUGAUACAUACAUCGGUUAAUUGAUAGAAUUUGUAAAGCUAGUACCCAUGUGAGUAACCAAUAGAAAAAAUCAUUCGUUGAUUUUGUUCUCUAUGUUUUAAAGUAUGUGGUGUACAAAAAAGAGAGGACUUAGUUGGCCCACACACAACAGAAAAAACAUCGCUCUAAAACAUCAUGUUGUGCAGUUUCUUGUUUUGUAUCAUUUCGUGGAGUUCAACGGUAUGUAUGGAUGCAAAAAAGUAUUUUUUGAUAUGUUAGUUUCAAUUCAAAAACAACAAAACACCAAGUAAGUUCAAAUACUAGAAGAAAAGGAAGUCCAAAAAAGAAGAAAAAGAACAGAAAACAUACACGACAUAAAAGACAAGAAAAAAAACAAAGCCUCACCCAGAAAUUGUUUAAUCUCAAAGUUCAUUGUCUUGAGCCCCUCGAGAAAAUUUCGCGAAGUCCAAAUUGUAAAAAAAAUCGAAGUUCAAAUUGUAAAAAACAUGUAUUUCUCCAUUUCUAAAAAUGAAACAGAGAAGUUCAAAUAAAAAAAGAUCAGUUUUACUUUUGUAAAAAAAGACUUUCCCAUUUCUAAUAACAAAACCAACUAGUUAAACUAAAAAAGAUAGAAAUUUCAUUUUUUAAAAUAUGAAUUGUCCUCAUUUCUAAAAAAGUAAGAAGAUCAAAUUCAAUGAAACGAAAAGAGUUCAUUGUCUCUAGAAAAAAGGAAUUUGCCUUUUUUAAAAUAAACAUAGAAGUUUAAGUAAAAACAUAGAAGUUCAAAUUAAAAAUAAGAGAGAAGUCCGAAUUUUAUAAAAACAUAGAAUUUACAAGUUAAAAAAAUGGUUGCUAUUUUUGGCAUUUUGAAAACUACCCAUAAAUGGAGACAAAUUUGGAAAAAAAUGAUGGAAAAAUUUGCUUCUCAAAUAUAAUCUUUCCAAUGGUAUAUCAUGCGCAUUAUUCCCAUAAUAUAAUUUGAAUGUUUUAUGUAUAUCAUUGAAAACAAGUCUUAGCAUGUUCAAAAUAUGUUGUUAACUAGUCAUGAUUUGUUAAAAAAUGCUUGCCAGUGCAAUCAUUUGCUCAAAAAUCGCUGAGUGCUUUAGGAGUUAGGGACAAUAUUUUUACAGAGAAGUUCAAAUUGAAAACGGCCAAAAGUUCAUGUGCUGCAUGGUGUGUGUUUUCAUAUGAGAAAAAUAGAAUAAAAAGUUAAAGUAUAAAAAUUUCGCUGCUAGAAGUUUAGGUGCUCAGCACAGGGAAGUUCAAAAACUUGUUGUUAGAGAGGUAAUUGGCAUUAUAUAUCAUUUGUGCAAGCCCGAUGAAAGGGUGAGAAAUUACGAACAAAAAUGCGUGGUAGAAGUUCAAAGUGAAAACAGCGGGAAGUUUCGAUGAUUAUAGAAAACUCAGAUUUUUUUCCUCGUUAUUAAAUAAUGGAAACAAGAAAUUCAAAAAUAAAAUAACAAGAAGUUCAACUUUUAAAAAUAUAGCACUUCAAAAUUUCAUAAAAAGGAUUAUAGAAAUAAAACCAGGAAGUCCAUAUUAAAAUGAUGGAGAAGUUCGAUGAUUAUAGAAAACUCAGAUUUUCCUCGUUCUUAAAGAAUUGAAACAAGAAGUUCAAGAAAAACAAGAAGGUCAACUUUUAAAAAUAGAGCGCUUCAAAAGUCAUAAAAAGAUUAAUAAAUAAAAUCAGGAAGUCCAUAUUAAAAAGAUGGAGAAGUUCGAUGAUUAUAGAAAACUCAGAUUUUCCUCGUUAUUCAAGGAUGGAAACAACAAGUUCAAAAAUUCAAUAACAUGAAGUUCAACUUUUAAUAAUAGAGGGCCUCAAAAUUUCAUGAAAGAAGAUUAAGAAAUAAAACCAGGAAGUCCAUAUUAAAAAGAUGGAGAAGUUUGAUGAUUAAAGAAAACUCAGAUUUUUCUCGUUAUUAAAGAAUGGAAAUAAGAAGUUCAUAAAUUAAAUAACAAGAAGUUCAACUUUUAAUAAUAGAGCGCUUCAAAAUUUCAUAAAAAAGGAUUAAGAAAAUCAGAUUAAAAAUCAUAAAGAAAAACUCAGAUAUAUUCACGUAACCUAGAGAAGUUCAGAUUGAUAACUGCCAGUAGUUCACGUAUUACACAGUGUGCAUUUUGUAUUAAAAAAAGAAUAAAAAAAUAAAGGCUAAAAGUUUUGUUGUUAUAAGUUCAAGUCGUCGGUCGAAGAAAGUUAAAAAAUUUAUUGUGAGAGAGGUUUGUACAAAAGGAAUAUCAUUUGUGUAAUAGUGACGAAAAUGGACGAGAAAAUUACAAAGGAAAAAUACGUCAUAGAAGUUCAAUGUGAAAACAGCAGGAAGUUCAACUACUACACUGAAUGAAUUUCAGAUGAAAAACUUUUAGAACCAUCGCGAGUAUGAGAAAAUAACCAACACUAAAAAGUUGCGUGUUUACAUCAGCUUUCCAUCGGUAUAUCACUCGUUGAAUUCCGGGGAGUCGAUGGAGAACUACGAGUAGUGGAUGGAGAUCUGCGAGCAAAAAGAAGCACGUAAAAUACAGAGUGAAGUUCCGGAAGACAUGCUGAGAAGUUCAUGUUCUUCACGUGGUGCAUUUUCGAAAAUCUGUUUCGCGAUAGAGGCAGAACGAAUGAUCCCUCCGUUUUCAAAAUUACUUGAAAACGGCUAAGAAUCAGAGAAAACCGUCAACAUGAAAAAGUUUCGCAUUUUCCGUAGCUUUUCAACGGUAUAUUGUUUGCACAAUUCCGAUAAAGUUUGUAGAAAUUACGGUGAAAAUAAUUUUUUCGCCAUUUUCGAAACUGACUUAAAACUGUAAAGAAUUUGGAGAAACAAUACAUACCAAAAAGUUUCGCAUUUGUUCAAGAUUUCCAACGCCAUAUCAUUUGCUGCAUUCGGACGCAUGGUUAAAAAAUUAGCUCGAAAAUACGAACUCGGUAGGACUUGGACCUUUUUCUAAAUUACUCUUAAAACAUUCAAAAUUAGAAAAAAACUUUCAAGAUGAAAAAGUAGCGCAUUUUCAUAAGCUUUCCAACGCCAUAUCAUAUGCCUCCAUUGGAUUAGCCGUUUAGAAAUGACAUCAAAAAGACGAACUCAGCUGUUCGGUUUAUGAAAUUUUACAUUUUUUCAAAUUACUCUUUAACCAUAGGGAAUUAGAGAAAACUUUCAACAUGUGGAAGGAGCGGUUUUGCAGCAGCUUUCCAAUGCCAUAUUAUAUGCCUCAUUCCGACAAACGGUUUAGAAAUGCGAUCGAAAAUACGAUUCACGUUUUUUGUGCAAAAAAACGGUUUUCAAAACUGCUCUUAAACCCCUUAUAUUUUGCCAAAAAUUUAAGUUGGGUCAUGAUAUUGGAGUCCAUAGCUUUCCAACGGUAUAUCGCAAGCCCCAUUUGGGCAAUGUUGGCGGAAGUUCAACCUAGUUCACAGGGAAGUUCAACGUACUACUAGCGGGCAGGUCAGGUUGUGAUCAGAAUAGUGUUUAUGUGUGUGUGUGUGUGUGUAUAUAUAAUCGGUUCUACGAGAAAAUCUAUUUAUAUAUAUAUGCAUAACGUGUACAAUACGUAGUAUCAUAAAAUACCAGUAAACAAAAAAGAAUUAAAUGGAAAACACAAAAUUAAUGGAAAAAUAAAAAAUAAAACCAAAACCACCCCAAAUAUUUAGUGCCGGUUGGUGUUACCAAUCGGUACUAAUGUCCUACACGCACCCGGGCCUGGCUCAUGCCACAUGGUGGCACUUUAGCACCGGUUCGUGAUGAACCGGUACUAAAGGGGGGGGGGGCUUUAGUCCCCACUCUUUAGCGUCGGUUGUGGAACCGGCACUAAAGGACCUUACGAACCAGUGCUAAAGCCCGGUUCUGCACUAGUGGGGUUGAUGGGGAUGGAGCAUGCGCUGCUGGGAAGAGCCAGGCUCUAUUGUGGCCGCCUCCCGCUGCCGCUCACGUCGGGCCGCCUUCUCCUCCGACUUCGGCAUGUGCAUGUGCACGGGUGCCGCAGGCGCAAGCACCCAACGCUGUCCGGGUGGUGCUGGCGCCCGAGGGGCAGGGGAGACGCCCACCCCUGCGCCGUGUCUGGAGUGGCGCGGAGCGGGAUAGACAUGCACGUGACGAAUUUGGGAGGAAAUGAGGGGAUCAGAGAGAACGACUGAACUGAGAGGAGUGAGGGGUUUGAUUAGGGUCCGUCCGGAUUUUGUACCUUGCGCACCCACAACCCAAGGGGGGCGAAAACCAACUCCCCAGACCGCCCGAGUCGCUCCCCAGGCGACUCCGGGGGGGCAACCCCGCCGCCACCUAGAACUCCCCCACCGGUGCUCUCCCUCCGCCGCUGCCGCUGGCAUCUGCGCCAUGGUGGCGGCGGGCCCCUGCUGCCAAAUGGUGUCGGGGGUGAAUCCUUCUCGUGGUGGCGCUAGCGACUGCUAGUCUCGGCUAGGGACGGAGAUGGCGGCUCGUCGGCACGGGCAUGCCGGGGCGGCGGCCUCGGGGAUGUAGAGGAGCGGGUGUGAGGCGGCUUGCGGUUCCUGGUGUGGGGGCUACGGAAUGGCCCCAUUUUUGGGAUCCGACUGACCUAGAUCCGGUGGGGGCAGCGGCUUCCAAGGCAGGCCUCCACGCGUGGCGGGCUGGCUAGCGCGUGGCUGCACCGGCUGGCAUCUACGAGUCUGUGGUGGUGGCGGUGUGCCACGGAUCGAGGGCGGCUGUGUAGCGGCGACGCUCGAGGUGGUGUGCUGGUAGCGGCGACUUUGUCCGGAUCAGGCAUGACUAGUGGCGGAGGUUGCUGUGAUGCGAAAUGUGGCUCUUCAAGAUGUGGUGGUUGGUCUGCUCUUGCGGUUCCGAUGGGCACUGGGUUCUCCGAUCUGGGUUGGGAGAAAUCCCUGCUUCGAGACAAGGCUCACAAAGCGACGCGGGGUUCCCUCCCUGGAGGCGUUGUGUUGGACCCGAUGGGACUCCCUUCCUCGAGCUCCGGGGAAACCCUUGUCUUGGUCUGGCCUCCGGACCGGAUGGCGGUGGCGGCGUCAAGGCGUCGUUACCUUCUUGAAGGCGCCAUCUUGUUGCUCGAGGAGUCUCGUUAGUGUGGCUUGAGUCAGCCGGCUGCCACUCUGGGCAUGGGCCUCCUGGGCGCAAUGUAUGCCAUCUCUGGUGCUCUCAUGACGGUACCUUCCCUAGAUUUUCUCGGGCCUUGCCGUUCACUUGCCGACAUCCUCUUGGCACAAAUGGGUGGCGGUACGUUGGUUUGUGUUGGCCUUGGGUUUGGUCUUGUUGUAGAGGUCUCGGCGUUAGUUGUGAUGUGGCUUGGUUGCAAUGUGGCUUGCCUUUUGUCAUUGGCAUGAGGUUGGACAAGGGAAGCAUGUAUCAUAGUAGCCAGGGUGGGUGUGCGUGGUGGAUGUGGAGGCUAAUUCUCGUGAUUAGCAUUGUAAUGGCUGAAAGGCCUUGUAUCCGGCUUGUUUUCCGCUUCUUCUUUACUGCAACGAUACACACACUUGUGCGAUUCAAGAAAAAAAGAUUAGGGUUUGUCCAACAACGCACUUACAUUUUUCUUGGGGCAUCGGUGGGGGCAGUGGGCCCUAUGAAGAAGUUUGAGUGUGCGUGAACACGUAUGUGUGUAUGUGGGGGGUGGGGGGGGUCUGCUAAUGAAAUGAGACACCAUAGCCCCAUAAAAACCACUCUGGCUCUACUUUGAUUGCCACCCAAAAUAUGUGAUUGUGUUUGUGUGGCUGACCUUACAAGAACAUCUCAGUUUUCAAUUUUGGGGUCUCAGUCCUUUUUUUGUCAUAAAAUUACGUGGUAGUUUACGAACGAGGAUGGCGCUCUCCCCUGCCCCUCCUCCAUUCCCCUCCUCCGUUUCCCUCUACUCCUCUCCCCUCUCCCCUCUUCCCUCGCACCCCAGCCCCCUCCUUCUAUGGCCCCUCCCUAGUGCCCAGCGCACGGUCCCACUCUCCCCUGGCCGCAGCGGCCUCCUCCUAUGGGCCGCGUGGCAGCCGCUUUUGGGCGUUAGGGGAGGAUGGGUCGAACUCAGAUCUUAAUGAGCCCGUCUCACCAUAGCCUCUGGCUACUGGCUGCGGGGGGCUGCCUGCUCCGGUCGCUGUCGCUGAUUUGCCCCUGGUGGCUGUGGGGGUGCCUGGAGGGUGGCGUCCUUGUCCUUUCCUCCUCUUGUGGGCCGUGUGUAGGAGAUAUGACCUAGAGGCAAUAAUAAAUUUUAUUACUUAUCUCCAUGUUUGUAAUUAUGUUUAUAUCCCAUGCUAUAACUGCUAUGGUUCCCGAGCCCGUAUAUCCAUAAGGCUCUAAGAUAAACCCAUAUGCACGUGUGGAAUAAUAAACAAUAAAAAGUAUUCCUAGUCAAGCCUCUAAGACUGGCUUAAGUGUUGCAUGAUGAUCACGUUUUCCUGAUCAUGGGCAUGCCAACAACUUUGAGGACACAAUGUUAGAAGAACAUUGUGUUGAAUCGAACCGACUGAUGUUAUGCUAUGAGAUAUGUUCGUCACGAGUUAAUGGUAAAUAACACAAAGAAAGUUAACAUUUGCAUAAUUCCUUAGACCAUGAGAGUAUCGAGUUCCUUCAUGAUUGCUUCAUAAACUUUUGGUUUUGUUAAACAUCAUCCGUAAAAGGGUGGAUAUUACGGCGGCUUACAGGUUCAUGAAAAAGUAUGAUUUGAUCACAAGGAUGCUGGAACGCGGAUACGAGAAAAGAGAACAAAAUCGGUAACGAGGAAACUAGCAUAGCGGACCAAGUUGUUGAUCCACGGGGACACUGAUAAAUCUCACCUCCGGUGUUUUUGUAAAAUUUCACAACGCAACAGGAAUAGCACACGACAACUAAUGGUUCACUCGAAUAUUCAUUUGUGUGGGUAUAGGGAUCAAUAUGGAUGUCCACUGUUCUGCUAUUGAUCAUUGAUCGAAAAGAGUUCCGGUCAUCUCUAUACUUCACCGAACCUACAUGGUCACACACUUAAGGCUCACCUACCUGCUAAGUAGUAGACGGGGGUGUCAGAGAGAUUUUCUCGAAAAGUUUCGGAGACGACAGGAAAAGAUUCAGAGAGAAAAAUGGAAAUGUUUUGGGGUCACCUGUGACGCCCCGAGACCGUUGCGCCAGGUGUCUUCCAGUUAUUCGCUAUUGUUGCCUUGUCAUUCGCUUGUUGCAUCUUGUCAUGUCAUCAUGUGCAUUGCAUCAUCAUGUUUUCAAAACUUGCAUCUGUCCGGGUCCCCCCUAGUUCUCUCCGUUGUCUGUUCUGAGCCCAGAGACACUCGCACGCGCCCGCGGCACGUCCGAAAUAGUAUUUUAUAAGUGGACAAAAAAUGUUCUCGAAAUGGGAUGAAAGUUGGCGAGUGGUCUUAUUUUAGUGUAGGUAGACCUCCUGCCAAGUUUCAUCACAUUCGGAGUUCGUUUGAUGCCCCAACGGAUAACUGUAGCGGCAGUAUAGCCGGUCUUUUCGUUGGACGUUUUUGGUCUCCGGAAACCGUGCCGGGCCUCCCUCUUCUCUCUUUCCUCUCAACCCCCUAACCCCACCUAGGUCCAACCUAACCCCUCCUAACCACCUCACCCCUCCUUGCACAGUGCAUCGAGCCCCUUCGCGUGUGUGUCCGAAACUUCCCGGACCCACCCGGGCAGUCAUGACCGUUGGAUCCAGAUCAUCCCCAAACAUCCCUAAAUCAUCAUCGGUUUCUCGUUGGACUCUCCUAAGCUAAUUAUUGUCGACCGUCCGAUUAAAAUCAGAGGGACCAAAUGCCCCUAAAAUUAGCCCACUUGCUAUAUAUAGAUCAACCACUAGCCUAUUUUGCACAAACCCUAAAAUCUAGGGACUUUUUCCCAUCCACUCGUCGUCGCUGCCGCCACAUCCCCCACCUCGGGAUCCAUCCCCAUCCAAUCAGUGUGUGCGUCCCCGGUCCAAAAAUACUCUCGAUCUCUCCCCGCCAACCAACGCCUCCCCUGAUCCCCUCGUCCACCUCCCGCAGCCCCGAGCGCCCGAGGCCCCAACAGCCCGAGCACGGGCCAGCCACCGAAGCUCCUCCGCGGCCUCCUUCCUCGCCCGACGUCGCCGGCGACAAGCUCUCCGCCUCCGGCCUCGUCCCGCUCCUCUCCUCCUGUUUUCCCUCUCUCUCUCUCUCAUGGUGGCCCUCUCUCUCUCCUUCCCAGGAACAAGAAGGAGCUCGCCCAAGCUCCAUGGCGCCGCCGCCGUCGUCCUACUUCGUCCUGUGACCUCCGAGCAGCGCCACCCGCCGGAUCUGCUCGAGCUCUCCUCGCCCCUGCGUCUCAAGUACCGUGUCGUCAAGCCGCCUCCUUGCCCUCGAGUCUGUCCAGUUCCGCUGUCCGCCGUGGCCGUGGAGCUCGUCGGCGUCGUCCUCGUGCCGUCCCAGCCCCGUCGCCACUACUGCAAGACCCCGCCAUGGACACCGUCCACCGACGACCACCCAGGUCAUGUUGCCGUGACCUGCCUCCUCUGCAUCGCACUGGCGUGCCGUUGCCCUGCUUCUGCGUGCGAGCAUGCGAGGACGACGACCAACGCCAAGUCCUGCUUCUCCCGUUGACCGCUGUGCUAGGUCUAGCCGUGCCAAGCCCAGCUGGCCUGCCUUGGCCUCUCCAUCGACCCGGGCUUGGCCUGUGGUGAGCAGCCCAGCCACCCAGUGCUUUGUUUAGGCCCAGUUCUAGCAGAUUCGGCCCAUAGACAUUUUUUUUCCGUUCUGUGAAUUUACCAUUUUUCCUGUGCAUGCAUAAUUAUAGAAAAAUGCCCUUGUUUUAAAUUGUUAAUAACUCAUAAACCGUGCAUCGGAUUAAAAUCUUCUAUAUAUGUAAAAUGCUUAGAAUUUCAUCUAGUUUCAUAAUAUGCAUGUUUCAUCCAUGAUUUAAAAGUUUAAAUUUCUGUUUGCAUUAAUUUUGCAUAAUGCCAUGUUAAAAUGAUUUAUUUCAUAACUUAAUAACCGUAGCUCCAAAUUUAAUAAACUUUAUAUGUAAAUGGGGCAGAAAAAUGCAUAGAUUAACAUGGCGUACUUAAUUUGCAUGUUUAACAACUCUAAAAUUAUGUUUAGGGCUGAACAUUAGCUAAUUCGAAAUAUGCAUAUGAGGAUUUUCCGGAAUUGUUGUUGUUGUUUCCAGCCUCAUUUAAACUUGCUUAAAUGUGUAGUUUUCAUAUGCUUCACCUCUUGCCAUGUUUAACAAAAUUUAAUAUUGUUGGGUACAUAAACGAGAGAGAACUAAAUAAUUGAUGUGGUGUUUCGUCAAUACGCAACUCGUUGCAUAUUGAGCUCUACUUAAUUUGUAGUAUUGUUUGUGCACUUUGCCAUGCCAUGUUUCAUUAAAUCGGACAUGCAUCAUACUUGGUUGUGCAUCAUGCCAUGUUUAUGUGAUGGUUGUUUGCUAUGUUGCUUUCUUCUUUCUGGGUUGCUUCUCUCGUUAGCUUCGCUUUCGUUCCGGAGUUGUGAGGAUUCGUUUGACUACGUUGGUUCGUCUAUCUUGGACCCGUUCUUCUUUCUUGCGGGAUCUCAGGCAAGAUGACCAUACCCUCGAUAGCACUUAUAUAUUUUCUUGCUAGUUGUUCGCUCUAUAUCUAUGUCGCGCUACCUACCACAUGUCUAUCAAGCCUCCUAAUAGCCUCUAAACUUUUUCAACCCUCCUAGCAAACCAUUGUUUGGCUAAGUUACCGCUUUUUCUCAGCCCCUCUUAUAGCGUUGCUAGUUGCAGGUGAAGUUGAAGUUUGUUCCAUGUUGGAACAUGGAUAUGUUCGGAUAUCGCAUUAUCUCUUCUUUAAUUAAUGCAUCUAUAUACUUUGUAAAGGGUGGAAGGCUCUGCCUUAUGCCUGGUGUUUUGUUCCACUCUUGCCGCCCUAGUUUUGUCAUACCGGUGUUAUGUUCCUUGAUUUUGUGUUCCUAAUACGGUUGGGAUUAUGGGUCCCCCUUGACAGUUCGCCUUGAAUAAAACUCCUCCAGCAAGGCCCAAACUUGGUUUUACAUUUGCGUAACAACCUAAGCCUAUUUCUCUUGGGUUUUCGGAUCCCGAGGGUCAUCUUAUUUUACCCCCCGGGCCAGUGCUCCACUGAGUGUUGGUCCGAACUAGAGUCCUUUGCAGCGCCACCUCGGGGAAACUUGAGGGCUGGUUUUAAUUGUACGGAGUGCUCAUCCGGUGUGCCCUGAGAACGAGAUAUAUGCAGCUCUUAUCGGGAUUCGUCAGCACAUUCGGGCAGCUUUGUUGGUCUUGUUUUACCAUUGUCGAAAUGUCUUGUAACCGGGAUUCUGAGACUGAUCGGGUAUUCCCGGGAGAAGGAAUAUUCUUCGUUGACCGUGAGAGCUUGUGAUGGGCUAAGUUGGGACACCCCUGCAGGGUAUAAACUUGCAAAAGUCGUGCCUGUAGUUAUGAGGCAGAUGUGAAUUUGUUAAUGUGCGGUUGUAGAGAACUUGACACUUAACUUAAUUAAAAUGAAUCAACCACGUGUGUAGCCGUGAUGGCCUCUUUCCGACGGAGUCCGGGAAGUGAACACAGUCUUGGGUUAUGCUUGAACGUAAGUAGUUUCAGGAUCACUUCUUGAUCACUUCUAGCUUCAUGAUCGUUGCGUAGCUUCUCAUCUUACUCUUAUUUGCGUAUGUUAGCCACCAUAUUUGCUUAUCACUUGCUGCAGCUCCACCUCACUACCUUAUCCUACCCAUAAGCUUAAAUAGUCUUGAUCUCGUAGGUGUGAGAUUGCUGAGUCCUCUGACUCACGGAUACUACCAAAACAGAUGCAGCUGCCGAUGAUACCAGUGCAGCUGACGCAAUCGAGCUCAAGUGGGAGCUCAAUGAAGAUCUUGGUCAUUGUUAUGUGUCUUUUCCGGUUGAUCAGUAGUGGUGCCUAGUUGGGACGUUCAGGGAUCUAGCAUUUGGGGUUGUCUUCUUUUAUUUUGGUUCCGUAGUCGGACCUUGAUUGUACUCUGGAUGAUGUAUGUUUAACCUGUUAUUUGUGCGAAGUGGCGAUUGUAAGCCAACUCUUUAUCCCUUUAUUAUUCAGUACAUGGGAUUGUGUGAAGAUUACCCCUCUUGCGACAAAACCACCAUGCGGUUAUGCCUCUAAGUCGUGCCUCGACAUGUGGGGGAUAUAGCCGCAUCAUGGGCAUUACAAGUUGGUAAUCAGAGCCAUCCCCGACUUAGGAGCCCCUGCUUGAUCGAAUCGCUGACGUUGUUGAGUCUAGAACAAAAAUGUUUUGAGUCUUAAGAUUAUAUAUAUCGGAGAGUAGGAUUCUUUUUACUCCUCAGUCCCUUCGUCGCUCUGGUGAGGCCUCCUGACGUAGAUGUUUUGACUUUCCUCUCCUCAAAUUUCACUAAUUUUUUUAGGAUCACGCGGGUAUCUUGGGAUCGUUCAAUAUUCUUGUGACUAGAACAUUGUUCUCGGUGCCUCCUCACAUUUAGGGGUUGUGGCAGUGUCCCGGAGAGUUGAGCCCCGAGGUGUUGUCGUCACAAUUUUAUCGUUGCAGUUCUGGAAUACCUGAGUUCACCGACAUCGAAAAUCUCUUUUAUGCAGUUGUUGGUGAGAUAACCUAGACGCCACCCAGUACUGGGGUGGGAGUUCAGGAGUAUUGCCAUAACUCGUAUAACGGAUGCUUUCCGAAGGUUGAGGUACACGAUUUCCGAAGGUUUCUUGGUUAUGUGUUGACGGAUGGAUACAGCUGGAUGUAGGGAUUGUUUGUUUGGGUUAGAUAUUAUGCUUCCCCUGUAUCCCCAACACCAGAUUGCAUAACCCGAAAGUUUCGGGAGUUUAUAAGUGGGAAUUCAAGUAUCACAUUGGAUAUCCUUCCAACAGACACGUGAUACGAUAUGGGGUCUAUCAUAUGUUUGUUCCGGCUUAUCCUGCAAGCCGAAUCCUUUGUUUUGUUUUGAGUUGUGGUAUUCGAGUUGCUUCGAUGUCAAGUGUUGAUUCCAUACCUUUUGCAAGAGCUGUUCUCAUAUUUCUAUGUGCUUCUCUUUUCUACCGGUGUGCUUCUCUUCAAGUGGAUCCGGUCAUUUUCAACAUCCGCAAGAUCUUCUCACAGUUUUCCCAAUGUUGUUCAUUUCAUCCGUCCCCAAGUUGCCUUUGUUUUUCCCGCCCUCCCACCCUUUUCUGCAAGGACUCAGAUUUCCAAAUCAAGUAUCCAUCUUAUGGAUGUGAAGUUUUUUCAUUCCUUUCCUUCAAUGUUCUUAUCCGGUGAUUCUCAGGAAGAUACUAAGGAAGCUUCAAGUUCAUCAUUCAUCAUUCUUUUUCUUCUUCGGUGGAUUCAAUUCAAGCUUUGUCGAUCAUAUCCUUUCCUCGUUUCAAAUGUUUUCUCAUGCCGGUGCACCUCUUAAUCAUCCACUGCUCGCCAUUCAUUUGUUCUGGAGUACUGAAGAUAUCUCAGGUGUUUCGUGUUUUCAUUCCUAAUCCAUUCAAGCUAUUUCGAGGUUGGUAUCUCAUUCAAGCCAUUUAAUUCAACCGGCGCAAUCUCUCUUUUAAAUCGUUCAACAGUGUAUCUUUUGAGUGGGCCUUAACCCACAGGUGUUUUCCUAGGAUCUUACCUGACUCUUCUAACUUUUCCGGAGUUAUUCUCAAUUUCAUUUAAAAGUGUGAUAUAAGAAGGAAUUGAUGAAUUUUCAUCAGUCAUAUGUCUUUCUCUAAGAUCUUUCAAAUUCUUUCCAUCGUUGGUUCAACCUUUCUAUUAUUCAUUCCGGAGUGCCUCAAUAAUUGGUGGUGGUGUUUCUCAUCGUCAUUCUCUGCAUUUGAAGACCAAGGAAGAGUUCCUCUUAAAUCCUCACCUGUUCUUCCAAAGAUUCGUGGUUCUAUCCUUAUGCCAUCCUCUCAUAAUUGUUUUCGAUUGUGAGAAUUCUUUUCACCCAUCCGGAGCAAUUCGGUAGUCUUUUCAGUUUGAUUCUCCAGAGCCCAUCAUCUUAGAAUUAUUAUUCCAUCUUUCAGCUCUCGUUCUCCAAAUCUUACCAGCGCAUUACUCAAGUAUUCUCUAGUCAGCUCGUGAUCUCUUCGUUCUCUUGCAUCUAAAUUCACUCAAGUAUCUUCAUUCGUUUUCUAAUUCUUCCUGGUGUUUCGUUCUCUUUUCCUCAAUCAUAUUCAAUUCUUACGGUGGUUCAUCCAAAAUUCCUCUUCUGUUGUUAUCAUAUCAAUUCAUUCGUUCUUUCCAAAUCCUAUCGGUGGUUCGUUGACGACCUUCUUAAGUUAUCGAUAUCUCUCUCUUAAUCAUUUCUACGAGAAUAAGUUGUAUGCAAUCCGUUGCUUGUCAUCAAUUUAAAUUGGUGAAGGAUAUGUGUUGGGAAUAUAACUUUCAGGUAUUACCCGCCCAGGAGGGGCCGGGUCUACCCUAAUGGCGGGUUGUUAAGAGAAGCCCAGUAAUAUUCAAGGUGAUAGUUUAUUAAGAAUUGUAGAAGGCCUAAGCCAAGAGGCGGCUUAAGGCCCAAUAUUGUAAACCGCCAUAUGUGACGAAAGACUUGUAAAGAAAUGCAUAUACAAGAAGUCACCGAGCCGGACACGUUUAUGAGCCGGCCGGGACUCUGUAGGCCGCCAGGCGUCAACCCGUGUAUAUAAGGGGACGACCCGGUGGCGGCUUAGGGGGAAGAAUCAACAGAUCGAUAGCCAAGCUAGCGGAUUCGAAACCUAGCAAUACAACAUCAACAGGACUAGGCCUUAUCUUCACCAUAAGGGGACAAACCAAUAUAAACCUCUCGUGUCCUUUGUCCCGGUUAACCCCUUUAAGCUUCGCUAGGACAUCUGCCAUGACAAUUCCACGACAGUUGGCGCCCACCGUGGGGCCAGCGCAUGGUGGAUUUGAGUUCUUGAAGGGCAACUUCGAAGGGCUCAAGGGAUACGCUGUGGGCCGGAUGACCAAGAGUCAUCGCGGCAAGCUCUACAUCGACGACGAAGGCUGGGGCCCCGACGUCAGCUUAAUUGAGUACGGAUACCGGGUCCCCUUCGGCGGAAUCCACGUCUUCAUCGGCCGGAUCGGUGAGCCGGGCCCUGAGCCAGGCAUCUGCACCGACCACGUCGAGACGGCUCAGCGCGCUAGAUCUGCCUGGGCUCAACCCGCCAUGAGGCGUGCCUUCGUGGGUUGCAUCCAUGGAGGGGAAUUUUUUGAAGGAUCGGUGGACGGUGGUGAGACGGCCGUUUGUUCUGACGGUGAGUCGUCGACAGGCGAAACAGAUUCUUUGUAUCAGUUACAAGACGGCGGACUUGGGGGAUGUUCCGAUGGCAGCAGUAUUCCGGACCCCACUGAGCUGCCGAAUCGAGCCGGAGUCUUCAUGGCUGGCACUCAACCUGGUCAGAAUUCUACGGCUGCGGUAGCCAUAACCACAUGGUCUGCAGCGGCCGGGUCAGGAGACCCCAUGCACCCACCAGCUCAGGUAUUAAUGGACCUCAUGGAUAGGAUGACGGCCCUGUUGACUGUUGUGGUUGAGCCAGCGGAUAAGGCUCAGCAUGACACAGAAGUAGGACGGCUACGCGGAGAGGUAGCACAGGCCAAGGAAAAUUUAGCAACGAAAGAUGUCAGGAUGGCCGCAGAACGGGCGGGGCUCUGGAUGCACGUGCUCUGCAGCUUCAAGCAGAGACUUUCUAGCUCUCGGUGGAUCUGAACGCGUCAAACGAGGUCAUGAGGAGAAGACACCAGAAAACUCAAUCACGUCUGCCUCUGACUUACGAUCCUAGGAACCUUUUCCACAAACCUGGGGCCGGUCGCAGCAACCCGCCGAAGGCAAACCGGAUCACAACACCUGGGACGGGGGCGUCGGUUCAGCCGAGGGCCAUCGAACCACCCCAUGUGAAUACUGUGCCGCCUCAUUACACGCUAGUACCAUCGGGUCACUUCUCUAACCCUUUGGAGAAUUUAAUUGAUGCGUCGACUCGUCCGGCGGCUCUCCCAAUGGAAGGCGACUCUCCAACGGCGAUCGAAACACGAAGGGUCAGAGAACUUCUUCAGACAAUCCUGGCACAUCAGGAUGUGUACUCUUAUAGUCAAGACAGAAUCCAUUCGACCCCUCGCCCAAGCCGGAGCCCGAGCUAUAGCGGGCAUAUGGACUCAGCGGCUAUGUCAAGCAAUGCCCAACGCCGUAACCAGCCGCGCAAGCAUGACCCAGCGCAUGAUGGAGCCUUUAACUUGGUGGAUCAGGAGAGGAUCCGUCAGGAGGCUGAGCGGGCAGUUCAACUGGCAGCUGAGCAGGCGGCUCAUCAGGCUUUUCCGGUUUAUCCAGCAACCUUUGUUGAGGCAGGAGUGGCCACAAGAACAGGAGGUGUCCCUUGCCUGGUGCCGGCUCUACGUAAUGAGCGCUUGCCAAAAGAUUUUAAGGGGCCUCGUAAAGUGCCUAAUUACACGGCCGACUUGCAGCCUGGGGCAUGGAUUGAAAGUUAUGAGAUGGCGAUGGAGCUGUUGGAGGUCAGUGAUGCAACAAUGGCUAAAUAUUUCACUAUGAUGUUGGAUGGAACAGCUCGCACUUGGUUGAAAGGGUUGCCACCCAACUCCACUGGCUCAUGGGCGGAGUUAAAAGCCCGGUUCAUUCAGAACUUCAAGGACACAUGUAAGAAACCUGUGUCCAUCAUGGACUUGACUAACUGUAAGCAAGAGGAAGGUGAGUCCAUGACCCAUUGGGUGCGCCUGAUCAAGGAGAUAAUACAUUCAUCUGAUAAGAUGGAUGCCGGCUCUGCGGUCUUAAUGUUGGAGAAAAAUUGCCGUUUUAAACCUCUGAAGCAGAAGCUGGGGCGGCUCAAGCGUGAUUGUCAUGACAUGGGCCAGUUGAUGGUGGCUCUGGUCAAAUAUGCUGAUUCAGAUAGUACCAAGGAUCCCGCGUCUGAUGAAGAGAAGGCAGGGAAGGGAAAAAAGACCGGCAAUGGCAAGGGUCACCAACAUAACUUGGCAAAUCAAGGAGGUAAUAAACGUAAGGCUGGCGAGUUUGUGGCUAACACCGGUACACAUGGCAACAACCAACGGCGCAAGGGGAGUCCACCUCCUCGGUCCGGCGGGUCAGGUCCCACUCUUAAGCAACUACUGAACGAACCCUGUCCGAGACACAGCACCCGGGAGAAGCCAGCUACCCAUAUGUGGAAGGACUGUAUGAUCAUGAAGGCGUUUAAAAAUUCCAACAUGUUCGAUGGUAACCACGGACCUGGCGGCGGUUUUCAUGGCCCGAGCAUCGGCUCAGGCGGAGGAGGUUUUCACGGCCAGGGCCAUCCUGGUAACCAAGGUGGUUAUAAUCAGCAAUCCGGCCAAAGUAAUAAGCAGCAACAGCAACAGCAGUCCGGGUAUCAGAGUAACCCGAAACAGCUGACCAGUGGGCAGUACCACGUAUUUACCACUAGUUUGUGCAAGAGGGACCGGAAACUUGAUAAGAGGGCUGUAAACGUUGUUGAGCUGGCGGUUCCACGUUAUUUGAGAUGGUCAGAACAGCCUAUUGUGUGGAGUAGGGAGCAUCACCCUCCCCGGGUAGAUAAUCCGGGUCACUUGGCUUUGGUGGUGGCGCCUCAGGUUGGUGGAUAUAAGUUUACUAAGGUGCUCAUGGACAGAGGUAGUAGCAUCAACAUCCUCUAUUAUGAGACGUUUCAUUGCAUGGGGUUCACUAACAAGAGUCUUAAACAAUCCAACACUGUUUUUCAUGGUGUUAUACCUGGUAAGUCGGCAUACCCAGUUGGAAAGAUUGAGCUGGAAGUAGCCUUUGGGGAUGAAUACGAUUCUAGGGCUGAGAAGUUAACUUUUGAAGUGGUUAAGAUCAAAAGCCCAUAUCAUGCCAUAUUUGGACGGCCGGCCUAUGCCAAGUUCAUGGCCCGACCGUGUUAUGUAUAUCUACAGCUCAAGAUGUCGGGUUAUAAAGGCACCAUCACAGUACAUGGAAGCCAGAAAAUAGCCCUGGAAUGUGAAGAAGGUUAUGCUGCUUAUGCUGAGUCCGUUUGUGCAACAGAGGAAUUAAAGUUUUAUAAAGAUAAUGUUGACCCGGCAGACAUGACGUCUUUGAAAAAGCCAACUACGGAGCAUGAACCGGUGUUGAAAUUCAAAUCAUCUGAUGACACCAAGAUGGUUGAUUUUGUGCCUGGCGACUCAUCCAAACAGUUCAUUAUCAAUGCUAACUUGGAUCGAAAAUAGGAAAGCGCGCUCAUCGAGUUCAUCUGUGAGAACCGGGACAUCUUUGCAUGGAAGCCUUCUGAUAUGCCGGGUGUCCCGAGAGAACUUGCUGAGCACACUCUCAAUAUUGAUCCAAAAUUUAAGCCGGUCAGGCAGUUUCUUCGACGGUUUAACGACGAAAGGCGCAAGGCGAUUGGAGAAGAGGUGGUCCGGCUCUUGGCGGCCGGGAUCAUUGUUGAAGUUUUUCACCCGGAGUGGUUGGCUAACCCGGUGCUUGUACUAAAAAAGAACGACACCUAGCGUAUGUGUGUGGAUUACACCGAUUUAAACAAGGCUUGUCCGGCUAACCCUUUUGCUCUCCCUCAUAUUGAUCAGAUCAUUGAUGCUACGGCGGGUUGCGAGCAUUUGAGUUUUUUGGAUGCCUAUUCGGGUUAUCAUCAGAUCAACAUGGCAGUUAAGGACCAGGAGAAGACAGCUUUCAUCACUCCGUUUGGAGCCUUCUGCUAUGUGUCUAUGCCUUUUAGGCCUAAAAGUUCCCAGGCGACUUAUCAACGAUGUGUGCAGAAUUGCCUUCACAAUCAGAUUGGGCGGAAUGUUCAUGCUUAUGUGGAUGAUAUAGUGGUGAAAUCCAGAGAGAAGGAAACCUUGGUAACUGAUCUGAAGGAGACCUUUGAUAACCUCCGGGUCUACAAGAUGAUGCUUAACCCGGCCAAGUGUGUUUUUGGAGUCCCAGCUGGCAAACUCUUGGGUUUUUUGGUGUCUAACAAAGGUAUUGAGGCUAACUCGGAGAAAAUUAAGGCAAUAACAUCUCUGGCUAAACCGGCGUGCAUCAAUGACGUUCAGCGGUUGGCGGGUCGCAUCGCAGCCUUAAGCCGGUUCAUGAGCCGGUUAGGGUAGAAGGCGAUGCCUUUGUAUAAAAUGAUGAAUAAGGCAGAUGACUUUGUCUGGAGUGACGCUGCUAACUCUGCUUUUGAAAAUCUGAAGAAACAGCUCGCUGAGCCGUCGAUUCUUGCUGCUCCGAUUGAGAAAGAGUCGUUGUUGUUGUAUGUGGCUGCUAACUCACGUGCUGUCAGUGUGGCCAUUGUUGUGGAGCGCAAGGAGGCUGGCAAGAAACAUCCGGUCCAACGGUCGGUUUACUACGUCAGUGAGGUGCUCAUUGAAUCUAAACAAAGAUAUCUGCAUCAGCAGAAGCUUGUUUACGGGGUGUUCAUGUUGGGGAACGUAGUAAUUUCAAAAAAAUUCCUACGCACACGCAAGAUCAUGGUGAUGCAUAGCAACGAGAGGGGAGAGUGUGAUCUACGUACCCUUGUAGAACGACAACGGAAGCGUUUGGUUGAUGUAGUCGUACGUCUCCACGGCCCGACCGAUCAAGCAUCGAAACUACGGCACCUCCGAGUUCUAGCACACGUUCAGCUCGAUGACGAUCCCCGGACUCCGAUCCAGCAAAGAGUCGGGGAAGAGUUCCGUCAGCACGACGGCGUGGUGAUGAUCUUGAUGUACUACUAUCGCAGGCCUUCGCCUAAGCACCGCUAUAAUAUUAUCGAGGACUAUGGUGGCAGGGGGCGCCGCACACAGCUAAGAAUAUGAUCACGUGGAUCAACUUGUCUGUCUCUGGGGUGCCCCUGCCUCCGUAUAUAAAGGCUCAAGGGGGGGGGGUGCGGCCGGCCUAGGAGAGGCGCGCCAGGAGGAGUCCUACUCCCUCCGGGAGUAGGAUCCCCCCCCCCAAUCCUAGUUGGAAUAGGAUUUCGCGGAGGGGGGAAAAGAGAAAGGGGGGCCGGCCCCCUCUCCUUGAUCUAUUCGGACCAAGGGAGGGGAGGGGCGCGCGGCCCAUCUCAGGCUGCCUCUUCAAUUUUCCACUAAGGCCCACUAAGGCCCAUAUAGCUCCCGGGGGGUUCCGGUAACCUCCCGGUACUCCGGUAAAAUCCCGGUUUCACCCGGAACACUUCCGAUAUCCAAACAUAGGCUUCCAAUAUAUCAAUCUUUAUGUCUCGACCAUUUCGAGACUCCUCGUCAUGUCCGUGAUCACAUCUGGGACUCCGAACAACCUUCGGUACAUCAAAACGUAUAAACUCAUAAUAUAACUGUCAUCGAAACCUUAAGCGUGCGGACCCUACGGGUUCGAGAACAAUGUAGACAUGACCGAGACAUGUCUCCGGUCAAUAACCAAUAGCGGGACCUGGAUGCCCAUAUUGGCUCCUACAUAUUCUACGAAGAUCUUUAUCGGUCAGACCGCAUAACAACAUACGUUGUUCCCUUUGUCAUCGGUAUGUUACUUGCCCAAGAUUCGAUCGUCGGUAUCCAAUACCUAGUUCAAUCUCGUUACCGGCAAGUCUCUUUACUCGUUUCGUAAUACAUCAUCCCACAACUAACUCAUUAGUUGCAAUGCUUGCAAGGCUUAAGUGAUGUGCAUUACCGAGAGGGCCCAGAGAUACCUCUUCGACGAUCGGAGUGACAAAUCCUAAUCUCGAAAUACGUCAACCCAACAUGUAGCUUUGGAGACACCUGUAGAGCUCCUUUAUAAUCAUCCAGGUACGUUGUGACGUUUGGUAGCACACAAAGUGUUCCUCCGGCAAACGGGAGUUGCAUAAUCUCAUAGUCAUAGGAACAUGUAUAAGUCAUGAAGAAAGCAAUAGCAACAUACUAAACGAUCAAGUGCUAAGCUAAUGGAAUGGGUCAAGUCGAUCAGAUCAUUCAUCUAAUGAUGUGAUCCCAUUAAUCAAAUAACAACUCUUUGUUUAUGGUUAGGAAACAUAACCAUCUUUGAUUAAUGAGCUAGUCAAGUAGAGGCAUACUAGUGACACUCUGUUUGUCUAUGUAUUCACACAUGUAUUAUGUUUCCGGUUAAUACAAUUCUAGCAUGAAUAAUAAACAUUUAUCAUGGAAUAAGGAAAUAAAUAAUAACUUUAUUAUUGCCUCUAGUGCAUAUUUCUUCAGUCUCCCACUUGCACUAGAGUUAAUAAUCUAGAUCACAUCGCCAUGUGAUUAACAUCAAUAGUCCACAUCAUUAUGUGAUUAACACCCAUAGUUCACAUCGCCAUGUGACCAACACCCAAAGGGUUUACUAGAUUUAGUAAUCUAGUUCACAUCGCUAUGUGAUUAACACCCAAAGAGUACUAAGGUGUGAUCAUGUUUUUCUUGUGAGAGAAGUUUAAUCAACGGGUCUGCCAUAUUCAGAUCCGUAUGUAUUUUGCAAAUUUCUAUGUCAACAAUACUCUGCUCAGAGCUACUCUAGCUAAUUGCUCCCACUUUCAAUAUGUAUCUAGAUUGAGACUUAGAGUCAUCUAGAUUAGUGUCAAAACUUUCAUCGACGUAACCCUUUACGACGAACCUUUUUGUGACCUCCAUAAUCGAGAAACAUAUCCUUAUUCCACUAAGGAUAAUUGUGACCGCUGUCCAGUGAUCUACUCCUAGAUCACUAUUGUACUCCCUUGCCAAAAUCAGUGUAGAGUAUACAAUAGAUCUGGUACACAACAUGGCAUACUUUAUAGAACCUAUGGCCAAGGCAUAGGGAAUGACUUUCAUUCUCUUUCUAUCUUCUGUCGUGGUCGGGUUUUGAGUCUUACUCAAUUUCACAUCUUGCAACACAGGCAAGAACUCUUUCUUUGACUGUUCCAUUUUGAACUACUUCAAAAUCUUGUCAAGGUAUGUACUCAUUGAAAAAACUUAUCAAGCGUCUUGAUCUAUCUCUAUAGAUCUUGAUACUCAAUAUGUAAGCAGCUUCACCGAGGUCUUUCUUUAAAAAACUCCUUUCAGACACUCCUUUAUGCUUUGCAGAAUAAUUCUACAUUAUUUCCGAUCAACUAUAUGUCAUACAUAUACUUAUCAAAAAUGUUUUAGUGCUCCCACUCAAUUUCUUGUAAAUACAGGCUUCACCGCAAGUCUGUAUAAAACUAUAUGCUUUGAUCAACUUGUCAAAGCGUAUAUUCCAACCCCGAGAUGCUUGCACCAGUCCAUAGAUGGAUCGCUGGAGCUUGCAUAUUUUGUUAACACCUUUAGGAUUGACAGAACCUUCUAGUUGCAUCGUAUACAACUCUUCUUUAAUAAAUCCAUUAAGGAAUGCAGUUUUGUUUAUCCAUUUGCCAGAUUUCAUAAAAUGCGGCAAUUGCUAACAUGAUUUGAACAGACUUAAGCAUAGAUACGAGUGAGAAACUCUCAUCGUAGUCAACACCUUGAACUUGUCGAAAACCUUUUGCGACAAUUCUAGCUUUGUAGAUAGUAACACUACUAUCAGCGUCUGUCUUCCUCUUGAAGAUCCAUUUAUUUUCUAUGGCUUGCCGAUCAUCGGGCAAAUCCAUCAAAGUCCAUACUUUGUUCUCAUACAUGGAUCAUAUCUUAGAUUUCAUGGCCUCAAACCAUUUCGCGGAAUCUGGGCUCAUCAUCGCUUCCUCAUAGUUCGCAAGUUCGUCAUGGUCUGGUAACAUGACUUCUAGAACAGGAUUACUGUACCACUCUGGUGCGGAUCUCACUCUGGUUUACCUACGAGACUCGGUAGUAACUUGAUCUGAAGUUACAUGAUCAUCAUCAUUAGCUUCCUCAUUAAUUGGUGUAGUAGUCACAGGAACAGAUUUCUGUGAUGAACUACUUUCCAAUAAGGGAGAAGGUACAAUUACCUCAUCAAGUUCUACUUUCCUCCCACUCACUUCUUUCGAGAGAAACUCCUUCUCUAGAAAGGAUCCAUUCUUAGCAACGAAUGUCUUGCCUUCGGAUCUGUGAUAGAAGGUGUACCCAACAUUUUGGGUAUCCUAUGAAGACGCUCUUCUCUGAUUUGGGUUCAAGCUUAUCACGUUGAAACUUUUUCACAUAAGCAACGCAACCCAAACUUUAAGAAACGACAACUUUGGUUUCUUGCUAAACCAUAAUUCAUAUGGUGUCGUCUCAAUGGAUUUAGAUGGUGCCCUUUUUUAACGUGAAUGCAGCUGUCUCUAAUGCAUAACCCCAAAACGAUAGUGGUAAAUCGGUAAGAGACAUCAUAGAUUGCACCAAAUCUAAUAAAGUACAGUUACGAUGUUCGGACACACCAUUACACUGUGGUGUUCCAGGUGGCGUGAGUAGUGAAACUAUUUCACAUUGUUUUAACUGAAGACCAAACUCGUAACUCAAAUAUUCGUCUCCGCGAUCAGAUCGUAGAAACUUUCUUUUCUUGUCACGAUGAUUUUCCACUUCACUCUGAAAUUCUUUGAACUUUUCAAACAUUUCAGACUUAUGUUUCAUCAAGUAGAUAUACUCAUAUCUGCUUAAAUCAUCUGUGAAGGUCAGAAAAUAAUGAUACUUGUCGCGAGCUUUAAUAUUCAUCGGACCACAUACAUCAGUAUGUAUGAUUUCCAAUAAAUCUGUUGCUCGCUCCAUUGUUCCGGAGAACGGAUUUUUAGUCAUCUUGCCCAUGAGGCAUGGUUCGCAAGCAUCAAAUGAUUCAUAAUCAAGUGAUUCCAAAAUCCCAUCAGCAUGGAGUUUUUCAUGCGCUUUACACCAAUAUGACUUAAAUAGCAGUGCCACAAAUAAGUUGCUCUAUCAUUACUAACUUUGCAUCUUUUGGCUUCAAUAUUAUGAAUAUGUGUAUUAUUACGAUCGAGAUCCAACAAACCAUUUUCGUUGGUGUGUAUGACCAUAGAAGGUUCUAUUCAUGUAAACAGAACAACAAUUGUUCUCUAACUUAAAUGAAUAACCGUAUUGCAAUAAACAUGAUCAAAUCAUAUUUAUGCUCAACGCGAACACCAAAUAACACUUAUUUAGGUUCAACACUAAUCCCGAAAGUAUAGGGAGAGUGCGAUGAUGAUCAUAUCAAUCUUGGAACCACUUCCAACUCUCAUCGUCACUUCACCCUUAACUAGUCUCUGUUCAUUCUGCAACUCCUGUUUCGAGUUACUACUCUUAGCAACUGAACCAGUAUCAAAUACUGAGGGGUUGCUAUAAACACUAGUAAAGUACACAUCAAUAACAUGUAUAUCAAAUAUACUUUUGUUCACUUUGCCAUCCUUCUUAUCCACCAAAUACUUGGGGCAGUUCCGCUUCCAGUGACCAGUUCCUUUGCAGUAGAAGCACUUAGUCUCAGGCUUAGGACCAGACUUGGGCUUCUUCACUUGAGCAGCAACUUGCUUGCCGUUCUUCUUGAAGUUCCCCUUCUUCCCUUUGCCCUUUUCUUGAAACUAAUGGUCUUGUCUACCAUCAACACUUGAUGUUUUUCUUGAUUUCUACCUUCGUUAAUUUUAGCAUCACGAAGAUCUUGGGAAUCGUUUCCGUUAUCCCUUGCAUAUUAUAGUUCAUCACGAAGUUCUACUAACUUGGUGAUGGUGACUAGAGAAUUCUGUCAAUCACUAUUUUAUCUGGAAGAUUAACUCCCACUUGAUUCAAGCGAUUGUAGUACCCAGACAAUCUGAGCACAUGCUCACUAGUUGAGAGAUUCUCCUCCAUCUUUUAGCUAUAGAACUUGUUGAAGACUUCAUAUCUCUCAACUCAGGUAUUUGCUUGAAAUAUUAACUUCAACUCCUGGAACAUCUCAUAUGGUCCAUGACGUUCAAAACGUCUUUGAAUUCCCGAUUCUAAGUCGUUAAGCAUGGUGCACUAAACUAUCAAGUAGUCAUCAUAUUAAGCUAGCCAAACGUUCAUAACGUCUGCAUCUGCUCCUGCAAUAGGUCCGUCACCUAGCGGUGCAUCAAGGACACAAUUCUUCUGUGCAGCAAUGAGGAUAAACCUCAGAUCACGGAUCUAAUCUGCAUCAUUGCUACUAACAUCUUUCAACACAAUUUUCUCUAGGAACAUAUCAAAUAAACAUAUGAAAGCAACAACGCGAGCUAUUGAUCUACAAGAUAGAUAUGCUAAUACUACCAGGACUAAGUUCAUGAUAAAUUAAAGUUCAAUUAAUCAUAUUACUUAAGAACUCCCACUUAGAUAGACAUCCCUCUAAUCCUCUAAGUGAUCGCGUGAUCCAAAUCAACUAAACCAUGUCCGAUCAUCACGUGAGAUGGAGUAGUUUCAUUGGUGAACAUCACUAUGUUGAUCAUAUCUACUAUAUGAUUCACGCUCGACCUUUCGGUCUCCGUGUUCCGAGGCCAUAUCUGUAUAUGCUUGGCUCGUCAAGUAUAACCUGAGUAUUCCGCGUGUGCAACUGUUUUGCACCCGUUGUAUUUAAAUGUAGAGCCUAUCACACCCAAUCAUCACGUGGUGUCUCAGCACGAAGAACUUUUGCAACGGUGCAUACCCAGGGAGAACACUUCUUGAUAAUUAGUGAGAGAUCAUCUUAAAAUGCUACCAUUAAUUAAAGCAAGAUAAGAUGCAUAAAAGAUAAACAUCACAUGCAAUCAUAAUAUGUGACAUGAUAUGGCCAUCAUCAUCUUGUGCCUUUGAUCUCCAUCUCCAAAGCAUCAUCAUGAUCUCCAUCAUCACCGGCAUGACACCAUGAUCUCCAUCAUCUUGAUCUAUAUCAAUGUGUCGUCACAUGGUCGUCUCGCCAACAAUUGCUCUUGCAACUAUUGCUAUUGCAUAGAGAUAAAGUAAAGCAAUUAUUUGGCGCUUGCAUCUUAUGCAAUAGAGAGACAACCAUAAGGCUUCUGCCAGUUGCUGAUAACUUCAAUCAAAACAUGAUCAUCUCAUACAACAACUUAUAUCUCAUCACGUCUUGACCAUAUCACAUCACAACAUGCCCUGCAAAAACAAGUUAGACGUCCUCUACUUUGUUGUUGCAAGUUUUACGUGGCUGCUACUGGCUUAAGCAAGAACCAAUCUUACCUACACAUCAAAACCACAACGAUAGUUUGUCAAGUUGGUGCUGUUUUAACCUUCGCAAGGACCGGGCGUAGCCACACUCGGUUCAACUAAAGUUGGAGAAACUGACACCCGCCAGCCACCUGUGUGCAAAGCACGGUGGUAGAACCAGUCUCGCGUAAGUGUACGCGUAAUGUCGGUUCGGGCCGCUUCAUCCAACAAUACCGCCGAACCAAAGUAUGACAUGCUGGUAAGCAGUAUGACUUAUAUCGCCCACAACUCAAUUGUGUUCUACUCGUGCAUAUAACAUCAAACCAUAAAACCUAGGCUCGGAUGCCACUGUUGGGGAACGUAGUAAUUUCAAAAAAUUUCCUACGCACACGCAAGAUCAUGGUGAUGCAUAGCAAUGAGAGGGGAGAGUGUGAUCUACGUACCCUUGUAGAUCGACAACGGAAGCGUUUGGUUGAUGUAGUCGUACGUCUCCACGGCCCGACCGAUCAAGCACCGAAACUACGGCACCUCCGAGUUCUAGCACACGUUCAGCUCGAUGACGAUCCCCGGACUCCGAUCCAGCAAAGUGUCGGGGAAGAGUUCCGUCAGCACGACGGCGUGGUGACGAUCUUGAUGUACUACUCUCGCAGGGUUUCGCCUAAGCACCGCUACAAUAUUAUCGAGGACUAUGGUGGCAGGGGGCGCCGCACACGGCUAAGAAUAUGAUCACGUGGAUCAACUUGUCUGUCUCUUGGGUGCCCCUGCCUCCGUAUAUAAAGGCUCAAGGGGGGGGGGUGCGGACGGCCUAGGAGAGGCGCGCCAGGAGGAGUCCUACUCCCUCCGGGAGUAGGAUUCCCCCCCAAUCCUAGUUGGAAUAGGAUUUCACGGAGGGGGGGAAAAGAGAAAGGGGGCCCGGCCCCCUCUCCUUGUCCUAUUCGGACCAAGGGAGGGGAGGGGCACGCAGCCCAUCUCAGGCUGCCUCUUCUCUUUUCCACUAAGGCCCACUAAGGCCCAUAUAGCUCCCGGGGGGUUCCGGUAACCUCCCGGUACUCCGGUAAAAUCCCGAUUUCACCCGGAACACUUCCGAUAUCCAAACAUAGGCUUCCAAUAUAUCAAUCUUUAUGUCUCGACCAUUUCGAGACUCCUCGUCAUGUCCGUGAUCACAUCUGGGACUCCGAACAACCUUUGGUACAUCAAAACGUAUAAACUCAUAAUAUAACUGUCAUCGAAACCUUAAGCGUGCGGACCCUACGGGUUCGAGAACAAUGUAGACAUGACCGAGACAUGUCUCCGGUCAAUAACCAAUAGCGGGACCUAGAUGCCCAUAUUGGCUCCUACAUAUUCUACGAAGAUCUUUAUCGGUCAGACCGCAUAACAACAUACGUUGUUCCCUUUGUCAUCGGUAUGUUACUUGCCCAAGAUUCGAUCGUCGGUAUCCAAUACCUAGUUCAAUCUCGUUACUGGCAAGUCUCUUUACUCGUUCCGUAAUACAUCAUCCCGCAACUAACUCAUUAGUUGCAAUGCUUGCAAGGCUUAAGUGAUGUGCAUUACCGAGAGGGCCCAGAGAUACCUCUCCGACGAUCGGAGUGACAAAUCCUAAUCUCGAAAUACGUCAACCCAACAUGUACCUUUGGAGACACCUGUAGAGCUCCUUUAUAAUCACCUAGUUACGUUGUGACGUUUGGUAGCACACAAAGUGUUCCUCCGGCAAACGGGAGUUGCAUAAUCUCAUAGUCAUAGGAACAUGUAUAAGUCAUGAAGAAAGCAAUAGCAACAUACUAAACGGUCAAGUGCUAAGCUAACGGAAUGGGUCAAGUCAAUCCGAUCAUUCAUCUAAUGAUUUGAUCACAUUAAUCAAAUAACAACUCUUUGUCUAUGGUUAGGAAACAUAACCAUCUUUGAUUAAUGAGCUAGUCAAGUAGAGGCAUACUAGUGACACUCUGUUUGUCUAUGUAUUCACACAUGUAUUAUGUUUCCGGUUAAUACAAUUCUAGCAUGAAUAAUAAACAUUUAUCAUGAAAUAAGGAAAUAAAUAAUAACUUUAUUAUUGCCUCUAGGGCAUAUUUCGUUCAGUUCAUGGCAAGCCGGAAGCUCAAGCAUUACUUUCAGGGUCACCCAAUCACUUUGGUUAGCUCUUCUCCUCUAGGAGACAUUAUUCAAAAUAGAGAAGCCACAAGAUGAGUCGCUAAGUGGGCUAUUGAACUUGGGUCUCAUAGUUUGAAGUAUGUGCCACGUACUGCAAUCAAAUCUCAAGCACUGGUUGACUUCAUUAAUGACUGGACAGAGUUGCAGAUGCCAGAGGAGAAACAAGACACCACAUAUUGGACAGUUCAUUUUGAUGAGUCCAGACAUGGUUGUCCUCGUGGUGAUCUCCAUCUCCACACCACGGUGUCAACCGCCAAGUGUUACAUAAGGUACUACGCUAUGAAAAACUAAUAGCUACUGAAAGUAAAUUACAUUACAUGGCUUCUCAUGUUGACACACAGGUCAUUAAUACAAUAAUGGGACAACCAUGUGGCUCCUGCCGGUUGCCGCACUCAUGACACGCAGGUCAUGAAACAAUAAUAUACAAGCAACAUACAUGGGCUAUACCAAAUCACAGUCAUUCCCUGCAAAAACGAGUCAGACGUUCUACCGCCGAAGAUAAAACCUCCUAAAACUCUAUCUUCCAAGCGGAUUUUGGCCUAUCCAGAAGCGCCGAAAUCCUGUUCUAGUAUUUUGCCGCUAAUCCAACUUUUUGUUAGCUUCAGUUUGAUAGGUCGUGGAGCAAAAUCGGAGUUCGUAUGCAAGAGUUACAGCCGUUUUACCGAGACCGCUCCAACAGAUUUCAGCACCGUAGAAAUCACAUUUCCAAGGUGUUGAUCUAUGUUCCGAUUCGAUCAAUCUCAUUGAUCUUCGCGUGCUGCAUCCGGAUUUAAGUUCCACUAUCUACCCCGAUGGCGGAAGCCGACCGGUAGGGGUAAUUCAUGUCACGACCUCUGCGUCACGAUCACGGAAACAAGAUCACGAAACCAACCUUCAACACUGACAUGUGCGACAGUUCUCAUCGACCCGCACUUGAACCGAUCAACUAUCUCAUAUGCAUAUCACCGAAUCUAUCACCACACAGCGGAGGCUCUGGUACCACUGUUGGAACACGCGGUACGCUACGCUAGAGCCAAAUAAAAUUUUCUACCGCGCACCCAAGAUCAUGCUGCUGGAAAUAAAUCACCGGAUCGGGUGUACCACUAGACAUGCAGUCACCGCAGCGGAAGUAGAGUUGGUGAUGCGUGUAGACGAUCUCCCGGGCCGUCUCCUCCUCGCGUUGCCGAUCUCCCGCGAAUAGCGAAGACCCGCGAACGGUGAUCUCCCACGAAUGGCACCUCGCGGUUCCCUCGAAUGGUUCGUCCAAGCACCACAGAUGCGAUGCCCCCAAGGUAUCCACACGUACGGGGAGCAGCGUCGAGCGGCAGAAUGAUAGGUCCGGUCGCGCGGCAUGGGCGUGGUAGUGGCGGUGGCUUACCAGGGUUCAAAAUGGAUCAACCCUAAGUGCUGUGCCCACUCCCCUUUAUAUAGACCUCCGAGAUGGGCUUAACACUUGAGCCCACUAGGAGUCCACAUCCAUUUUCCACCCGGAUCCAAUCUGAAUGGGCUGCAACCCUUUAAGUGUGUGACCCUAUAGGUUCACGUACACACGGACAUGACCAGAGUCGAUAGUUGGUAGCGGCUCCUAGCAGAACGUGCCAACUCCCAUGUGGGCAUAAAGUUGUUUGACGAACCUCAACAAUGUGGCAUAUGCAACAUUCCUUUUGCCUCACGAUAUUUGUUGUCGAGCUCAAGGCGAGUACUUGUCACCCUUGUGAUAGCUCGACCUCUCUUCUCGAAACCAUGAUACAGAUUCCCGAACUGGGUUAAGACUUAACCCAAGUCGCAUGGCCAUGCUUUCCGAAUCUGAUCACUCGAGAUGGCCCAGAGAAUAUCUCUCCAAAUAGGAGGGGCAAAUCCCAUCUUGGUCAACCAUGUCUCGCGGCAUGUCUCACGACUCACCCGAAAGCUACCUUAUAACUACCCAGUUACGGAGUAGUGUUUGAUAGACCCUAAGUGAGUCGAUCCUCAUCCCGAGAACAUGCGAGGACCUUAGGUCUAGGACAUGGCAUAGACAUUGCACUUGAGUCUAAAAGAUGACUAUAUCUCACUGCGUCUCAAAGUGGGUCUGCCGGCUCGGUGAUCUCCAUCCUCGAGCCCAUACUAUCGGUUUAGCGUCUCCAUGCACAUGACUUGUGAAACAUAGUCAUCAACCGAGUCGUAUACUGGUCAAGGAUAUGUGUCCGCACAACCUUAUCAACUAGGGACCAUUAGAAGAAUCAUCAUACAAUACAUAGUUCCACAAACAAGUCACAUACUUAUUGAUACAUAUCAUUGAUGAUGUUCGAGGACAAUACAAAGGACUCAUGAAUACAUAUGGAAAUGUCAUAAUCACAUGAUUGCCUCUAGGGCAUAUCUCCAACAUCCCCAACACACCCAAUACAAUGGUAAAUUUUAUAGGUGCACUAGUUCGGCGAAGAGAUGGUGAUACAAGUGCAAUAUGGAUAGUAGGUAAUGGUUUUUGUAAUCUGAAAAUAUAAAAACAGAAAGGUAACUAAUGAUAAAAUUGACCACAAACGGUAUUGAAAUGCUAGGAAAGAAGGCCUAGGGUUCAUACUUUCACUAGUGCAAGUUCUCUCAACAAUAAUAACAUAAUUCGAUCAUAUAACUAUCCCUCAACAUGCAACAAAGAGUCACUCGAAAGUCACUAAUAGCGGAGAACAAACGAAGAGAUUAUGGUAGGAUACGAAACUACCUCAAAGUUAUCCUUUCUGAUUGAUCUAUUCAAGAGUCCAUAGUAAAAUAACAUGAAGCUAUUCUUUCUGUUCAAUAUAUCAUAGAGUUAGUACUAGAAUAACACCUUAAGACACAAAUCAACCAAAACCCUAAUGUCACCUAGAUACUCCAAUGUCACCUCCAGUAUCCGUGGGUAUGAUUAUACGAUAUGGAUCACACAAUCUCAGAUUCAUCUAUUCAACCAACACAAAGAACUUGAAAGAGUUCCCCAAAGUUUCUACCGGAGAGUCAAGAUGAAAACGUGUUUCAACCCCUAUCCAUAAGUUCACGAGGUCACGGAACUCGCAAGUUGAUCACCAAAACAUACAUCAAGUGGAUCACGUGAUAUCCCAUUGUCACCACAGAUAAGCACAUGCAAGACAUACAUCAAGUGUUCUCAAAUCCUUAAAGACCCAGUCCGAUAAGAUAACUUCAAAGGGAAAUCUAAAUUCAUCACAAGAGAGUAUAGGGGGAGAAACAUCAUAAGAUCCAAAUAUAAUAGCAAAGCUCGCUAUACAUCAAGAUCGUACCACCUCAAGAACACGAGAGAGAGAGAUCAAAAACAUAGCUAUUGGUACAUACCCUCAGCCCCGAGGGAGAAGUACUCCCUCCUCGUCACGGAGAGCACCGGGAUGAUGCAGAUGGCCACCGAAGAGGGAUUCCCCCCUCCGGCAGGGUGACAGAACGGGUCUAGAUUGGUUUUCGGUGGCUACGGAGGCUUCUGGUGGCGGAAAUCCCGAUCUAUUCUGCUCCACGAAGUUUUUAGGGUAUAUGGACAUAUAUAGGCGAAAGAAGUCGGUCAGGGGAGCCACGAGGGGCCCACGAGGGUGGGGGCGCGCCCAGGGGGCAGGCACGCCUCCCUGCCUCAUGGCUACCUCAAAGCUUCCUUGACUUCAACUCCAAGUUUCCUAGAUCACGAUUGUUCCAAAAAUAACGCUCCCCAAGGUUUCAUUCCGUUUGGACUAAGUUUGAUAUUCCUUUUAUGUGAAACACUGAAACAAGGGAAAACAGAAACUGGCACUGGGCUCUGGGUUAAUAGGUUAGUCCCAAAAAUAAUAUAAAAGUGUUUAAUUAGGCCCAUAAACAUCCAAAACAGAUAAUAUAAUAGCAGGGAACAAUCAAAAAUUAUAGAUAUGUUGGAGACGUAUCAUGGCCGUGGAGCUCGUCGGCGUCGUCCUCGUGUCGUCCCAGCCCCGUCGCCGCUACCGCAAGACCCCGCCAUGGACACCGUCCGCCGAUGACCACCUAGGUCAUGUCGCCGUGACCUGCCUCCUCUGCAUCGCGCUGGCGCACCGUUCCCCUUCUUCUGCAUGCGAGCAUGCGAGGACGACGACCAGCGCCAAGUCCCUCUUCUCCCGUUGAUCGCUGCGCAGGCCUAACCACGCCAAGCCCAGCCGGACUGCAAAUUUAUCAUUUUUCCUAUGCAUGCAUAAUUACAGAAAAAUGCCCUUGUUUCAAAUUGUUAAUAUCUCACAAACCGUGCAUCAGAUUAAAAUGAUCUAUAUAUGUAAAAUUCUUAGAAUAUCAUCUAGUUUCAUAAUGGGCAUGUUUCAUCCAUGUUUGAAAUGUUUAUAUUGCUGUUUGCAUUAAUUUUGCAUAAUGCCAUCUUAAAAUGAUUUAUUUCAUAACUUAAUAACCGUACCUCCAAAUUUAAUAAACUUUAUAUGUAAAUGGGCAGAAAAAUGCAUAGAUUAACAUGGUGUACUUAAUUUGCAUGUUUAACAACUAUAAAAUUAUGUUUAGGGCAGAACAGUAGCUAAUUCGAAAUAUGCAUAUGAGGAUUUUCCGGAAUUGUUGUUGUUGUUGUUGUUUCCGGCCUCAUUUAAACUUGCUUAAAUGUGUAGUUUUCAUAUGAUUCACCUCUUGCCAUGUUUAAUAAAAAUUUAUAUUGUUGGGUACAUAAACGAGAGAGAACUAAAUAAUUGAUGUGGUGUUUCGUCAAUACGCAACUCGUUGCAUAUUGAGCCCCACUUAAUUUGUAGUAUUGUUUGUGCACUUUGCCAUGCCAUGUUUCAUUAAAUCGAACAUGCAUCAUACUUGGUUGUGCAUCAUGUCAUGUCUAUGUGAUGGUUGUUUACUAUGUUGCUUGCUUCUUUCCGGGUUGCUUUUCUCGUUAGCUUUGGUUUCGUUCCAGAGUUGUGAGGAUUCAUUCGACUAUGUUGGUUCGUCUACUUCUUGGACUCGUUCUUCUUCCUUGCGGGAUCUCAAUCAAGAUGACCAUACCCUCGAUAUCACUUCUAUCUUUGCUUGCUAGUUGUUCGCUCUAUCGCUAUGUCGCGCUACCUACCACUUGUCUAUCAAGCCUCCUAAAUUGCCAUGAUAGCCUCUAACCUUUUUCAACCCUCCUAGCAAACCGUUGUUUGGCUAAGUUAUCGCUUUUGCUCAGCCCCUCUUAUAGCGUUGCUAGUUGCAGGUGAAGUUGAAGUUUGUUCCAUGUUGGAACAUGGAUAUGUUGGGAUAUCACAUUAUCUCUUAUUUAAUUAAUGCAUCUAUAUACUUGGUAAAGGGUGGAAGGCUCGACCUUAUGCCUGGUGUUUUGUUCCACUCUUGACGCCCUAGUUUCCGUCAUACCGGUGUUAUGUUCCUUGAUUUUGCAUUCCUAACACGGUUGGGGUUAUGGGACCCCCUUGACUGUUCGCCUUGAAUAAAACUCCUCCAGCAAGGCCCAACCUUGGUUUUACAUUUUCCUAACAACAUAAGCCUGUUUCCCUUGGGUUUCCGGAGCCCGAGGGUCAUCUUAUUUUAUCCCCCCCCCGUGCUAGUGCUCCUCAGGGUGUUGGUCUGAACUAGAGUCCUUUGCAGUGCCACCUCGGGGAAACUUGAGGGCUGGUUUUAGUUGUACGGAGUGCUCAUCCGGUGUGCCCUGAGAACGAGAUAUGUGCAGCUCCUAUCGGGAUUUUCGGCACAUUCAGGCGGCUUUACUGCUCUUGUUUUACCAUUGUCGAAAUGUGUUGUAAUCGGGAUUCCGAGACUGAUCGGGUCUUCCCGGGAGAAGGAAUAUCCUUCGUUGACCGUGAGAGCUUGUGAUGGGCUAAGUUGGGACACCCCUGCAGGUUAUAAAAUUUCGAAAGCCGUGCCCGCGGUUAUGAGUCAGAUGGGAAUUUGUUAAUUUCCGGUUGUAGAGAACUUGACACUUAACUUAAUUAAAAUGAAUCAACCGCGUGUGUAGCCGUGAUGGUCUCUUUCCGGCGGAGUCCAGGAAGUGAACACGGUCUUUGGUUAUGCUUGAACGUAAGUAGUUUCAGGAUCACUUCUUGAUCACUUCUAGCUUCACGACCAUUGCGUAGCUUCCCAUCUUACUCUUAUUUGCGUAUGUUAGCCACCAUAUUUGCUUAUCACUUGCUGCAGCUCCACCUCACUACCUUAUCCUACCCAUAAGCUUAGAUAAUAUUGAUCUCGCGGGUGUGAUAUUGCUGAGUCCUCGUGACUCACGGAUACUACCAAAACAGAUGCAUGUGCCGAUGAUACCAGUGUAGGUGAUGCAAUCGAGCUCAAGUGGGAGCUCGAUGAAGAUCUUGGUCAGUGUUAUGUGUAUUUUCCGGUUGAUCAGUAGUGGUGCCCAGUUGGGAUGAUCGGGGAUCUAGCAUUUGGGGUUGUCUUCUUUUAUUUUGGUUCCGUAGUCCGACCUUGAUUGUACUCUGGAUGAUGUAUGUUUAACCUGUUAUUUAUGUGAAUUGGAAAUUGUAAGCCAACUCUUUAUCCCUUUAGUAUUUAGUACAUGGGAUUGUGUGAAGAUUACCCCCUUGCGACAAAACCACCAUGUGGGUAUGCCUCUAAGUCGUGCCUUGACACGUGGGAGAUAUAGCCGCAUCGUGGGAAUUACAUCACCGGAAGUGUCUCAGAGAUAAAAACAUCUUAUCGGAAGUGUUCUGGAACGCAUUGAUACAUCUCCAUCGUAUCUAAUUUUCCAAACUCUUUUGCCCAUGUUUUGGACUCUAGUUUGCAUGAUAUGAAUGGAACUAACCCGGACUGACGAUGUUUUCAGCAGAAUUGCCUUGGCGUUAUUUUUGUGCAGAAAUAGAAGUUCUUGGAAUGACCUGGAAAUUUAUGUAGAAUAUUCUUGGAAUAAAUAAAAAAUAUUGGCGAAAGAAUCAACCAGAGGGGACCCACCUGCUAUCCACAAGGGUGGGGGCAUGCCCCCCUAGGGCGUGCUCCCCUACCUUGUGGGUCCCCUGGAUCUCCACCGACCUCAACUCCAACUCCAUAUAUUCACGUUUGGGGAGAGAAAAAUAAGAGAGAAGGAUUCAUCGCAUUUUAUGAUACGGAGCCGCCGCCACCUACUGUUCUUCAUCGGGAGGGCAGAUCUGGAGUCCGUUCGGGGAUCCGGAGAGGGGAAAUCAUUGACAUCAUCAUCACCAACCUUCCUCCAUCCCCAAUUUCAUGAUGCUUACCAUCGCGCGUGAGUAAUUCCAUCGUAGGCUUGCUGGACGUUGAUGGGUUGGAUGAUAUUUAUCAUGUAAUUGAGUUAGUUUUGUUAGGUUUGGUCCCUAGUAUCCACUAUAUUCUGAGAUAUAUAUUGCUAUGAACUUUCUAUGCUUAAUGCUUGUCACUAGGGCUCGAGUGCCAUGAUUUCAGAUCUGAACCUAUUAUGUUUUCAUGAAUAUAUUUGUGUUCCUGAUCAUAUCUUGCAAGUUGUAGACACCUAUUACGAGUUAUGAUCCGCAUACCCCAAGGUGACAAUAAUUGGGAUUCUUUCCGAUGAUUACCAUAGUUUGAGGAGUUCAUCUAUUCACUAAGUGCUAAUGCUUUGGUCCGGUUCUCUAUUAAAAAGAGAUCUUGAUACGUCUCCGUCAUAUCUACUUUUCCAAACACUUUUGCCCUUGUUUUGGACUCUAACUUGCAUGAUGUGAAUGGAACUAACCUAGACCGACGCUGUUUUCAGCAGAAUUAUCAUGGUGUUAUUUUUGUGCAGAAAUAAAAGUUCUUGGAAUGACCUGAAAAUCACCGGAGAAUUAUUUUGGAAUAUAUAAAAAAUACUGGAAGGAAGAUCCACGUCAGGGGGGCCUCCACCUGUCCACGAGGGUGGGGGGCGCGCCCUACCCCCCUGGGCGCGCCCCCUGCCUCGUGGGCCCCCUAACGCUCCACCGACCUCAACCCUGACUCCAUAUAUUCACAUCUGGGGAGAAAAAAACUAGGGGGAAGGAUUCAUCGCAUUUUAAGAUACGGAGCCGCCGCCAAGCCCUAAACUCUCUCGGGAGGCCUGAUUUGGAGUCAGUUCGGGGCUCCGGAGAGGGGAAUUCGUUGCCAUCAUCAUCAUCAACCAUCCUCCAUCACCAAUUUCAUGAUGCUCACCGCCGUGUGUGAGUAAUUCCAUCGUAGGCUUGCUGGACGGUGAUGGGUUGGAUGAGAUUUAUCAUGUAAUUGAGUUAGUUUUGUUAGGGUUUGAUCCCUAGUAUAAACUAUGUUCUAAGAUUGAUGUUGCUAUGACUUUGCUAUGCUUAAUGCUUGUCACCAGGGCCCGAGUGCCAUGAUUUCAGAUCUGAACCUAUUAUGUUUUCAUCAAUAUAUGAGAGUUCUUGAUCCUAUCUUGCAAGUCUAUAGUCACCUACUAUGUGUUAUGAUCCGGCAACCCCUGAAUGACAAUAGUCGGGACCACUCCCGGUGAUGACCGUAGUUUGAGGAGUUCAUGUAUUCACUAUGUGUUAAUGCUUUGUUCCGGUACUCUAUUAAAAGGAGGCCUUAAUAUCCCUUAGUUUCCAAUAGGACCACGCUACCAUGGGAGGGUAGGGAAAAAGAUGUCAUGCAAGUUUUUUCCAUAAGCACGUAUGACUAUAUUCGGAAUACAUGCCUACAUUACAUUGAUGAAUUGGAGCUAGUUCUAUGUCACCCAAGGUUAUGACUGUUACAUGAUCGACCGCAUCCGGCAUAAUUCUCUAUCACCGAUCCAUUGCCUACGAGCUUUCCAUAUAUUGUUCUUCGCUUAUUUACUUUUCAGGUGCUAUUGUUAUCAUCACUACAAAACACCAAAAAUAUUACUUUUGUUACCGUUACCUUUUACCACCAUUACCACUACUAGUAGACUGCCCGUGCGUUGCCACAGGCAUUUGAAUUUGUAUUGGUUGGAUGUAAAAUUUUACAUACAUAGAAAGAUAGGCAAUAGCAAAUAAAAGAAUAAUUGAAAUCUAAUUCGCUUGCAAUGUACUUCGAUAAAAAAGUAAUUCGACCCUAUACACCUGAUGCACAAAAUAAAGAAGGUGGUACACAAACAUUGAACUAUUUGUUCUGCAAUGCAUUACAAAUGAUAAUAACAAUUUAAUGCCUUUUUUAGUUCUUAAAAUCGAUUGCCUCAUGAAAGCAUGUGCAUUGUUAUUAUCCAUUGAUUAAAAACAACACAUGAAGGAUUUUUUCCUUUAAACAAAUGUUCCAAGAUGUUACAACCAGAAACUUAAUUGCAAUACGCAAUUGCCUGGCAAACUAUUACAUAAUAUGGAUUUAGGGGCUUGAAACCAUACAAUUUACCAUUUAGAAAGUACUACAGAAAAACACAACUUCUAGAACAUGCUACUCCUACCUCUCUUGUGACAGGUAGACAUAUCAAUCUUUGAUAACAUUUUUUGUUUAAAACUUUAUUGGCAUUUAUUUGUAUUUUUAUAACAAUUUUUCAAUUUUAUUUGAGUUAUGUAACUUCAUAUUUGGUGUACCGGCUCAAAAGGAUUUUCACAUAAAACUCAAAAGGAAAUGGGUGUGUUGUAAUAGGAGCUAUGCCAUACAAGGGAAGUGAGCAACUCCUAUUCAAACACCAACCAACUCAAGAGAAACCCUACUUAGACAUACACUCAGACAUUAACAUCAAAUAUAAGAGUGAAAGGGUGGAUGGCAUGCAACAUCAAUUGCGAAUAAAAAGGCUAAAACUUUCCCAGAAAAUAUACUCCCUCCAUUCCUAAAUUUAAGUAUUUUUAGAGAUUCGAAUACGACAUAUGAAUGUAUAUAUAUACAUGUUUUAGAAUAUAGAGUUCACUAAUUUUGCUUUGUAUGUAGUCCACAUUGAAAUCUCCAAAAAGACUUAUAUUCAGGAACGGAGGGAGUAGGUCACAACUCACAAAUUCACAACAUACUUUCUCCUUGUAUUAGCACAAAAGUCAAAUAAUGGACAGUAGGACUGAUGAGAAGGUAUAUAAUAUUAGUCUUAUCGGUUGUUCAUUAUUCUACGAGAGAGAGAGAGAGAGAGAGUCGACACCCCCAAUUGUCUCUGUAUGUCUAGGCUAUCGGAAAACCCAUUCCAUAUGUGAGAAGGAAAUAGGUAAGGACAUCUAUAGACAGCAUGCUAGAUCCGGCAAAGAAACACAGUUUUCUAAAAUAUUACAAAGCAUCCCAAUGAUUUGAUGUUAUGAAUUGCUAUGAACUUAAAUGCUUAAUACAAUCAACAGAAAAGAUAGCAGCAUGCUUCUCCAUUUUGAGCCAGUCCACCUAUUAAGGACUUCUUGAUUAAAACCUGCAAUCAUUCUAUAUAGCCUGCAAAAUAGGAGGUAAAUAUAAGAAAAUAAUGUACAGAUAAUAAUUUUAGAAAUAUUAAGGGAAAACAUUUUAGGGUAUGAAAGAAAAUCAUCCGCACAAACCACAAGGUCUUUAGCUUGAUAACAACAAAGUUCAAACAAUCAGACGUAACACAUGAGGCAGAAGUCUUUCAUGAUAAAUUGGUAGUGGCUCGCCUCUGCUCGAUGUCAUCCUCCGUCUUUGUUGUGUUGCUCCUUUUGAGUGUUGCUUCUACCGCUGUCCACUUGGUGAGCGCACUACUGACCCAUCCUCACAAAUAGAGCAAAGUUUCAGAGCCCAAAGUUUGAUGAUGUUGAUUGGAUGCGCUUGGCAUUCAUGAACCUAUGCUAAUGAACAAAAUCUGACAUUUGUAAAUUUUAUCAAAAUAUGGAGGAUGCAACUACAGAGAUAAAAUUAUAAAUUAUUUCAAUUAACUAAUAAUUUAAAGCAAGCAUGUUCAUAAUAUAGCAAGGCGGGUCAUCCAAUGUUAAUUGUGCCAAGAACUUAAUUUUUUUUCAAUCAGACAUUGAUUUUCCUUAGAUGAAAUUGUCUCUGGUGUGUAUGAAGCAUGAAUAAAUCAAUUUAAAAUGGAACAAAUACACAAUCAAGGAUUCCAGUCAAAAAUAUUCCACAUCAGCUAAACAUAAUCACAUCCGCAACUAAUCAGAAGUAGUUAUAAAAGUGCAGCAACUACACAAACAUCUCAGUUCACAAAUUGUAACCCUAUUCACUGCUCCUGGUUGUGUGAAAUUUCUUCAGAAAAGAGAAAAACAGAGACAUGAGAGAGUGGUAGUGAUGACGUGCACCGUCUGCCCUCACCUCGCAGCCUUGCACAUCUAAGCCAAAAAUUCAGAAGCGCACUGUUAAUUCAUUCCAUUCCAUUUUUGAAAUUUCCAUGACAACCUUGAACAUAAAUAGUGAUUUGACUUCCCAAGUACAAAGUCGAACUUAGUGAAUAAAAACAAAUAUAUGAGAAAGCAAGAAACAUUGCUUACCUCAACCAAUGACGACAGGUCUGUUGCAUGGAACAUGCCAAACGUGAGUGUGUGAAUGCUUCCCCGCAGCGACAUGGCAUCACAUGUAAUAUUGUUUAAGUUGCCAUAUUCUUCCUCCACAAAAUAAAUUAUGCACACCUUAGAUUAUGCACCUAAGAAUGACAUGAUGAAUCAUGGGUAAACUAUAACCAGCCUAUAGUCAACUUUUUCUUAUGACAUUUGUAGUACAAAUAAAUACUCUAUUCACCUUUAGGUAUGUUGCAUUUGCUGCUUCACAAGGAAGAGUGGGAGGCUCAUGAGCUGAGGCCUUGAGGGAACGUCCGAGUAGCUGAGUAGAAGAGCGCUCGUCCAAUUCCCAGUUUCACUACCACAAAUUCGGUAGACCAGAUCAUAAUUCCAGUACCACAAUUUAAUAUCAAUACCGUAUACCUGAAAAAGAAUGGUUUCAUUUUAGUAGAAAAUCAUACCCACCAGUUUCAGUGAAAAAUCAAAAUCCAUUUUGAAAACAAGUGGAGGUAUCUUAGUAAUAAAAAAAAUACCACAUCCAUUUCAGUACAAAAAUGAAAGCCAAUUUCAGCGUCCGAUCCAUCGCAAUUUCAAUACUUAAUUGAAAUCUUAGAACCACUGAUUCAAAAUAAAUAUUAAAUUAAAAUCUUAUAGGGACUUUAUCCGGUUUAGGAGUAGAGUCAAGCCUAUCUGAUUUUAGAGUUUAGGGUUGUAGUGUCCACUUAGACAAACGAAAGCUGAAGAUAAAAGAGCUCACAAUCCUAAUUUGAAUUUGCUGAAACUGUAAUUGAUUUUAGUUUCAAUAUUGAAAAUCAAUGCUUCUAUAAUUCUUUUAAGAUUGACAAUUGAAAAGCCAAUUAUUUAUUUAUUUAUUGUUAUUUUAUGUAGUUGGGGACCUAGUAGACAUGCAUGUUUAAAAAAUCUGAUGACGUGGUUAAAACACCCCUGCAAUAAUCCUUGGAUUAUACUCAAUCUAGGAAUCUAUACACUAUCUAUUUUUUUCAGUUAAUCGUUUGCUUGUGUUUUGAUUACAGGUUUGUAACGUUCUUGAACAUUAAGAACCGAGAAAAUCAUAAUUUAGCCAUCAUAACACAACGCGGAGGUCUACAAACCUAUAGGCAUACUGUGUGCAUAUAUACAGACACAAACACAUCGACUAGAUGGUUAACAAAUUCAUUUGGAGCUCAUGAAUAAAACCUAUAGGUACGUCAUGCCACUUAAUCAGUGGUACAACCUCGUGAAUAAAUCAGAGCUUACCUUCAGAUGAGCGGAUUCCGUUGUCCCAACAAAACCGCCCACUUCGCUGAAGUGUUGCUGUUGGUGAAAGGCAGA